AGGUGGAUUAUAUUUGAUCGUCUUGCUGGAGGUUGGAAUCCGCUGGUGAGAAAACAGAAGGGAAGUGAACAGAAACCUCUCCUCCGCCUCUUCUUCUUCUUCUUCUUCUUCAUUGCUGUUGUAGUUGUCGUCAUCGAGAGAGAGAGGAAGAGAAUAUGGCUGUUGAUCGGGAGGCACAGUUUCAUGUGCUGGCUGUGGAUGACAGCCUCAUCGACAGGAAGCUCAUCGAGAGGCUCCUCAAGACCUCAUCCUACCAAGGUACUCUCACUGCUUAUACUUACUUGCAUGAAUGGGGAACAGCGGAUUCGGCACCCACUCGAUUCGAGUGUUUCUGAGAGAAAUGUGUUGUUUGCUUCAGUUACCACAGUAGACUCUGGGAGCAAAGCCUUGGAAUUGCUGGGGUUGAGAGAGGACCAGGAUAUCUCAUCGCCUUCCUCACCGGACAAGAACGUAAGUCAAAUCAUCCAUCGAUUUCACAGCAUGGGUUCUUCUCGUUUCUGAUGAAUCGUGAUGGAUGGUAAUCGUGCUUAUAGGAAAUAGCGGUGAAUUUGGUCAUAACAGACUACUGUAUGCCCGGGAUGACAGGGUAUGAUCUGCUCAAGAAGAUCAAGGUAGAACUGAUGGCUGGUCCGAUUUCCAUUCUUCGACUUUUAAUUGCUUUUUUAGCUUGUUUCAAGAUAGUUAUGUGUGUUUGUGUGUGUGUGCUUGGUUUACUUGUUAUAUCAGGGGUCAUCAUCUUUGAAGGACGUUCCAGUUGUGAUCAUGUCCUCUGAGAAUGUGCCUUCCAGGAUCAACAGGUGAGGAAGUGGAUUCCUUACCAUUAAAUUCUUGCAUGAGAUUUUUGGUUUGGUUUCACUCGGCAUAAAUGGAGCACCUUUACAGUCUUGCAACUUUAAGAAAAGGUGAAGUAGGAAGGACAAUAAAAGAAUCCCAAGAUGCUGUUGGUUUCUCUUCCAGCUUUCUUAAGUUUACAGUGACCAAGAUAUGAACUUUGUUCCAGAGGCUGAUACCUCAAGAGCUGUAUCCAAUUUGUUUCCUUUUAGGAAUCCCACAAACAAACACAAAGCCACUAAUUUAUGCAGCUAAGAAGUCCCAAGAAAGAGAUCCAGCUCAAAAUUCUUCUUCUUCUUCUUCUUCUUCAAUUCACUUGCUUUUCAUCAAAAGAGGAGAGAAAAAAAAAAAAAUAAUAAUAAUAAUAAAGGCAAGCAGUAAAUUAGAUCUUCCCUGGUUCACACAGUAUCUCAUAUCUUGCCCAUCACUGGGGGUAACGAGCGAGGAUGGGGGGAAACAUCCAAACCAGCAAGUGGUCCUCGAGGCAUGUUUGUUUUCCCAACUUUGGUUCAUAAAAGUUGGGUCGGAGUCAUCUGUGCGGUGGUCAUAGCUUGGGUGGAAUCAGGAUAAAGCCACCCCUAUACGCCAAUAAAGUCAAACAUCCAAAAUCUUUUCCAUGUUGAUGUUAGAUUUGCUCAAUAUUCUGAAGUUGAUGUGAUGAGAGAAAAAAGGAUAGAAAGUCCCACCUUAGACUCCUUUCUUCUCACCUACAUCUGACAUGUAAAUGCUUUGAUGUGUCCUGAUGACAGAUGCUUGGAAGGAGGAGCUGAGGAGUUCUUCCUCAAGCCAAUACAGCUUUCAGACCUCAUCAGGCUCAGACCUUACAUGCUAAAAGGCAAGUUGAAGGAGCAGCAACCAUCACAACACCAAGAAACCAACAGUAGUACCAUUAGCAGCUGCAGCAGUAAUAACAACAGUAAGAGCAAUAAAAGGAAGGCCAUGGAUGAGGGGCUUUCACCUGAGAAGACCAGGCCAAGAUUCUCCAGUAGUAGCUUGGCAUUGGUGUCAUAUGAAGAGACCGCCUAAUUGCUUACGCCAUCUACCUUGGAUUGGGUUUCCUUGAAUCAUAUGCCUGGAAACCCAUAUACAUACACCUACUUGAUUCCAAUUUUUGUUGUUGUCAUGAUCUCCCCAACAUCACAAGCAAAUGUAGAAAAGAAAAAUGGAGAUUCAAGUCAUGAAUGGAUAGAUUGGAUUUCUGAACUCAAAGCGUUUGCACAUGGAUGCGUUGCUACCUAUGCCAUCUGUAUUGCAGCAUUCAAAGGACAAUAUGAUGAAGAACCAUAGCAAAUCCAGCUGAGACGAGACAAUAAAAGGCAGGAAGCCGAGAAAAAGUUCAGGACAUCAGCCAUUAUUGUGUUCCUUGACCUCUCAGACUCCAUGCCGAAAGCUUUUCAGUGGCUUGCCAACCUUUGUCUGUAAUGGCAUGGGGGACUGCAAAUUGCAUGAUUCAAAGCAUCAGAAAAAUUUGAUCUACUAAUAAUGUAUCUGAGCCUUUUUGGUUUGAUCAGAGCAUGGAAAUAGCAUUCGAUCAAACCAAAGAGCUUAGAUUCUUCCCAAGCAAAACACUUGGCUUCCAGUAUUACUUGGAGUAGCUGCAUUUGACAGCCCACCGAAGGAUCGCCUUGCACGCAACCACCAAAUCAUUUAAUUAGUUCUUCAAAGGAUUGUCCCCAUGCCUUCUUCCACGGCAAUUAAUUCUUGCUUCCAAUAAAAGGGAAAUGCUUUUAUGAUGAGAACUUACAACAGAAUUUUUUUGCUAGAUUUUAGUAAGAUUAAAAAGGCAUUUUUACAGUUGAAGGACGACUGUGAUUCCAUUCUUACCAUUAAAAAGUGCAACCUGAUGCCUUGAGAGUUAGAAUCUUAGUGUCUCUUGUGUUGAGCAGUUUUGAUCCAAAAUGACAUCAUUUCUUGUGAGGACUAUAACAAGAAACACUUUUGGUCUCUUCCAUCUGACUCUCUAUUAAUAAUUUAAUAAUCAAAAAUUAAAACAUAAGAUUUUUAUAAAUAUUCAUAAAAUAAGUUGUAUAUAUUUCUAACAUAAACUAAUCACAUUAUUUUUGAAUAAUUUCUAUUAGUUUUGUCUCUUUCAUAUUAGUUUUUAAUAUUUUAGAGGUCAAUAGUUAUUUUCAUUAUUUAAUACAUUUACCAUUGAUUUUAUAAUUUGUAUAAUUUAAUAUGUUUUUUUUAAAAUAAAUUUAACUAAAAUUAUAAAAUUUGUUGGUUUUUAAUCCAAUUUUAUAUUCAGGGAUCUAACCCUAAAUCAAAUUGAAAUACGAAAAAAAAAGUAAUCAAUUUUUGUUGGAUUAUAUAUAUAUAUGAGAUAAAAUCAUUCUUUCUUUCGAUUUUAAAAAGAUUAUAUAUAUAUAUAUANNNNNNNNNNNNNNNNNNNNUAUUAAUAAUAUAUAUAUAUAUAUAUAUAUAUAUAUAUAUAUAUAUAUAUAAUUUGAGACAUUCGAAUGGAUUAGAAUAAUAUCAAACGAAAAUCAAAUAAAUUAAUUUUUUUAAUUAGAAAAAUCAAACGAAAAUUUCUUCUAAUCAAAACAAAAACUUGAAACGAUUUCCUUAAUCCCAAAUACUCUACCUACCAAAACCCACCGCUGAUUACUAUACUACCAAUGACCCAAAAUUGCUCCACCGCCGUCACCCCCUCGCUGCGUACUCCUGUUAUUGGUAUGGCCAGUAGAACCACCGCCCUCGCGUCCCUCUCUGCGGUGGCUGCCGCCCUUUUCGCUCUCAUCCUCGCUCCGGCUCUGCGCCUCACAUGUACCCCCUCUCUGCUACUAGUCUCACAAUCUUACUACUAGUUGAGAAUGAAAUCGAUGGUGAAGCAAUAGGGGAAUGACUUGGGGAGGGCUAAAACUGUGUCGUGCUUUGUGAAUCGCAGGGAGUCCGUGGAAAUGGAGUCGGAUUUCGGCGGACCUUGUGGUCAUGAAUGCGACCAUCUACACCAGCGACCCAUCCCUUCCUUUCGCCCAAGCCAUGGCCGUCCGAGGCGGCCGGAUUCUCCGAGUCGGCAGCUAUUCCUCUGUUGAGGUGUUUGAACUUUACCUACCUCUUGAAAUCUAUUCUGUUUUGUGUUUAUUAUUUGUAUCGGCCGUUGACGCUGGUUGGUCUCGUGUUGUUUGUGAGUAAAAAUUCGAGGAAAUCAAGAAUGAAACUGAUAAGUCAACAUUUGGUCAUCAUUGGUGCGAACCGGUGGGCUCGCGAAGAAUUGUCCGCCCACAUAGUUUUGCCCUUUCGAGGCUCGUGAGCCUCAAAAAGGCCUACGGGGUCGUACCAAUGACGAUCAAAUAUUGACUUAUCAGAAUGGUUCUAGAAGGAGGGCCUGAACCUUCGGCUUCCCUAGGGAAGAGCACUAAUAAGGACAUUUAGUCCCACAUUGGUUGAGAAGUAGGAGAACCAAGACUUAUAAGCCCGUCGGGUCACCUUUACCUUCAGAGAUGCCUUUUGAGGCUCACGAGUCCCGAAAGGGCAAAACUAUGUGGGCACGUCCAAAGCGGAUAAUUCCUCAUGAGCCUACAGAGUCUGAAUUCUAAGAGUUCUUCAAUGCCUCUCUAUUUAUUCAAAUCCAGGUUUAGUGUUGUAGGUUAAUUGUAAGCGUAGGUGUUGUGGCGAUGCCAUUUUAGAAUUAAUACAAAUGUUUUAUCUAUCAGUUUAUGUUGAAUAUAUUUAGGGGGUAUGAGCACAUGGAGAAACUUGAUAGCUUCGAGUUAUGAGUUGGACCAAAAAGUACAUACAAGGUUGUCUUUGAUUCCCCUUGUAGUUCCAUUCAUCUUUUGAAUGUUAGCUCUUGGCUGCACUUUUAAAAUUUAAAAGACAAUCAAGAUUUAGAGCUUAUGUGAAUUGCACCCUUUGAUCAUGUUCCAUGUGACAUAACUGGAAACUAAGAAGCAUGAACACAUGCUUUUGGUGGACUUGUUCGUGUCUGACGCAUGUUAGACAAGUAUAUGUCGUCGACAUGGCUGAACACAUGUCCAGUCAUGUUUAUUUAUUUAUUUUCAUUUCUAUUUGUUGGACAUGGCAUUGCUUCUGGUUUGCUUUCAUGCGCUUUGUUGCGUGACCCUCGCGUGCAACGUUGCGCUUGCAUGGCCCUCACAUGAGGGCCGUUUGCUUCAGAUUCUAUGUGGACACGGAUCGUCGGUGUUGCAAGGAAACAUAUAUCAGUUAUAUCUAGACAUUGUUAAAUAUUAUUUGAUGUACUCAAUAUUUAUUUUGGAUACCUACAUUUAGAUAAUUUUAAUUGUUUAAAUCUGUAUGAUGAUAUUUAUUUGUUCAUAUUGCUGAGUUUAUAAAAUUUAAGUAUAAAUGUCAUGCAACUCAUAUUAGUAUAAUAUAUAUACACACACAUGUGUCCUCGCCGUGUAUGUGUCCUAAUUUUUUAAAAAAUGAUGUGUCGCUGUGUCCCUGUCCCAUGUCUGUCUCUGUGCUUCUUAAACUAGAAAUAUCAACAAUAAAGUUACUUGUUUCUCACUGAACUAAAAGAAACUCGACCAUUUAAAUUGAUCUUGUAGGAAUUCCUUUACUAUUGAUUUGUGCAAAUGGAGGAACUGAGCUGCUUUAAUCAUGCUGUUUUGAAAGCAUGAACGUAUUGUUUUUUAUGCGGGACUAUGCAUCACUAUGUUGAGGUAUAUCUGAGAACUCAUGACCCAAAGAAGCUUAGAUAUUUACUUAUAACAGAGGAAACUAGAUUUGAUGCUCAGGAGAGGCUAAAAACUUGAAUAAGAGUAGGUUGAACCUAGCAUGGAAAUGGAAUGAAGUAUCUGUGUAUUGAAUUAUUGAUUACCUAGAGGUUCUAACUAAAUUGGCAUAUCCUGAAAGGGGAAAGAAGUCUCUGUGCGUUGAUUACCUUGAGAUUCCAACUGAAUUGACAUGUCCUGAGAAAAUUGACAAAAUAUUGAUUUAUUGAUCAUUCAGGCUGUGCGCUUGACAAAAUAUGAGCUUGGACUGGAUCAGCUGAUGCUUGUUUCACAUUUAAGGUUAACACAUUUUUAUCAUGGAUGUUGGCACUGCCUUCUUAUGUGAUUAUAGUUUUGCUUAGUGCAACUGCAUAAAGUAGUAUUGGCAUUGGCUUUUUAGAACUUUAAGUUGCCAAUGUGAUUUGAGUUUUGCUUAGUAUAACUACCUAACUAGUACCAACAUUGACUAUUUAGAACUUCAAGCUGCUAAUAUAUGUCUAAUUGCAUACUGGUUUGGACUGAAGGUGAAUUAGAUUUAUGAUCCUAAGACAUCCAUUGCAAUAUCAUACUGCUAUCAUUGUUGGAAACAUAUGAUCUGCAGCUCACUAGAGUGAUUUUAAUGUAAAAAAGAAGAAAGAAAUUGUUCAGUGCUUGAUCUGUAAUUGGGUCUCAUUGUAACAUUCAUUUUGGUAGACAAUAUUAGAUCAAACAUUUCUCAGAAAGGUUCAAUUAUACCAGUAUUGUUGACACAAGACCAUUUUAAUAUAUAUUUUUGAAUAAAUUUUAUUAAUUAGAAAGUAUUUUGCAGAUAUCAUAACUUGCAAAAUAACAUCUUCCAUAAUUCUACAUUAAUUAUUAAUAUUGUGAUCUUCAAGAUCCAAGAUAUAAUUAAAGGCUGAAAUAUGUUUAAGUUUGAUUGAUUGUGGUAGCACAAAGCAAGGUUUGCAAUUUUAGGUUGUGGGACCCAGAACGUACUGUGGCACUGUUGGUUUGGGUGGGGGUAAAGAAGAAGGACGAAGAGGAGAUGGGCAUGCUGCCAGCAGCAAGAAGGGGGCUCUUGGCAGGACUCCUCGUGAGCCCUAGAUGUAUCUUUUAAUGGGUGACUUCUCUUUUUACCUAAAAGUAAAAUCUGUUUUUGUCAUGAAUUGGAUCUGACUACCUGGUUUUAAGUCACCUGCAUCCUGGUGGCAAUCGGACUGGUAAAUACUGGCUGAACAGUAUCAGAACAGGUGAAAUUGCUUUCUUUGGCACAAAGUAACUUGGUGUUUCUAAGUUGGCAUAAAACUUGAUUGAAACCAAGGAGUUGCCGUUUUAGCAUACCCAGCUAAAUUUAUAGUAAUGCACAUGUCCAAGUCCAGAUAAGGGCUCGUUUUUAUGAGUCAGCACUGAGUGAGGAUGCCUGAUAACUGCCUCACACAUCAUUUAGAUGACCGACAGGAACAUGGUUCACUGCCGCAACAAUUGGUGCAUAUUCAGGUACAUCACUCUUAAAGUAGAAACAUGACCUUUAUUUGGAAUAUCAGAUGAAAUUUCUCCAAGGUUCAAAGGGAUGAUUCAAGCUUGGUUUAGUGUAUGAAACUGCACAGUAGACUGUUUGGAUGCUAUUCCUCUCUUGGUGAAAACAAGACUACAGAGAAGUUGAAGCAGCAGGAUAGCAUUAGAAGAUGCAGCAUUGGCAGAAUUAGUGGCAGCAGAAACAACUUCAGAAGAUUGGCAAUUCUUGUCCUCAGCGAAAUAAGGCCUAUGAGGAUUUGGUACAACAGUACCAUUGACCUUCCAAACUGGUUCAACAUAUGGCAGAUAGUUCUUACCCUUGAAAUGUAAAUGGCUUAACAGUCUAGUCUGGACAAGGCAUAGAAGGCAACGACCUCUACUGUCUCCCCUCCUCUCAUGAUUGCACAUCCCAUAAGGGGAUGUUGGCACAAUUAGGAGCCUCGUUAAGAGCAUCAUCAAAGCUAUCAACAGAAGAUUUUAGCAGCAAAUAUCUAGUAUGUUUUAAUCAUAAAACAGAUUCCUAUUAUAACUACGAGGUAGUAGAAGCUGUAAAGGUAGUCUAAGCCUCAGUGCUAUCUUUUUGGACAAUGUUAUUCUCUUUUUCCAUCAAUAAACACUGUUUUCCUGUCAACUUACCUGGGAGUCUAACUUUGACGUGGAGAAGCACAAGUUACGGGGCAUAGUUCCCAACAAUUUUUGUUUGAGAUCUUGCACUAUUCAGCUGUCCUUACCACCAUUCCCUACCAGUCAUCCAUUAGAUUUUCACUUAAAAAUCAAUUUUUUUGAUGAUUAUGAUGAAUGAUUGAUUAGCGAGAUUUGAUAGGGAUUGCCUUUACCCUGUUACGCUGAUCCAAUCGAUGAGAGCAUCAUGCAAGUUACACCAUGUGCUCCAAACUACCCAGUCACAUAUGCCUAAAAGGUGAAGUGGUUGUAUUCCAAUCAGUGCAACUUGGGAUCCUUCAAUUCUGUGGUAAGACUUGAUCUUUUAAUACUUAUAUGGAAUGCCUCUUCAGAAGAAUUUUCUUCAUAGAUGCUCCUUUUCCAUGGUAUGGAAGGCUUCUCUCAUCUGAAGCUGGUCUUGAAAUUCUCUGAUGCCUCUUCAGAACCAGACUGUCAGGUUCUGGAAUGAUGUUUGGCUUUUCUCCUUCCCCUUUUCAACUGUCCUAUUUCUUAUUUAUCCUAUCAUCAUGAAUAGUUAUAAUCUGGUGGCCUUCAUUCUGACCGGGAAGCCCAAUGUAUCUGGAAGCUAUUCUGGUAUAAUUCACUGGCCCAUCAACAUGGUAUAUCUUAUUUCUCUCAACACUAAUCAACCCUUGAAUAGCUCAAGGGAGUCUCUUAAGAAACUGGGAUUAUCUUCAAGCAUGCUUUAUUCUGGUUUAAGGUCCUCAUGUUUUGGUUACCCCAUCUAGGAUCAGGGUUUUGAUGCUGUUACUGAUUGUCCUUUUCGUUUUUCCUUCUAUUUUUCUUCACCUAUUCCUUUUUUUCUUUCUCAUCUUUAAUUUUCUUAUACUUAUUUCACAUCUUAUUGACACAAUCUUGCAGUUUUACUGCUUUUAACUAAUUUUUUUAGUCACUCAGUAAUAGAGUUCUGAAUAUGACCUAGAAAAUGAAUUUUCAUAAUAGUUUGUACAACUCUGAAUAUUGCUUUUCUAUACAUAUAAUAUUUUAUUUUUUGAAGAAGAGAGUACAAGAUGGAUGGAGGAAUAAAAACUGGCAUGUAUGAUUGUGUACACACAUUACUUGCCUCGAUUCAUCUAUUGAUCUCAAUUGUUAAAAUUUUUCUAAAAAGGUUAGCCUGAUUGACCCUUGUCUAGCAAGAACUUCAUAUCCCACGAACCAACCACGAGCCAAUUUGGCCCCAUGGACUUUCAAGUAUUUUCAGGACAUUCCUAGCAUCACUUAUCUUAGGAUGUUGUCCACAAAUAAAUAUUGAAGGUAGAAAUUACAUUGAUGAUGAGACUAUCUGUUCAUACUUCUGCCUGCAUUUGUCGGAAUCCUUUUGCCCUUGGUUGAUUAGUGUUGAGAGAAACAACAUAUACCAUGUUAAUUGGCCGGUGAAUUAUACCAGAAUAGCUUCUAGAUACAUUUGGCUUCCAGGUCAGAAUGAAGGCCACCAGAUUAUAACUAUUCAAGAUGACGGGUAAAUAAGUAAUAGGACAGCUGAAAAGGGGAAGGAGAAAAGCUAAACAUCAUCCCAGAACCUGACAGCCUGGUUCUGAAGAGGCAUCAGAGAAUUACAAGACCAGCUUCAGAGAGAUAAGCGUUGCAUAUCAUGGAAAAGGAGCAUCUAUGCAGAAAAUUGUUCUGAAGAGGCAUUCCAUAUGCGUACAUUUACUCUCCCAGACCCCACAUUGGCGGGAGCCUUGUGCAUUGGGUACGCCCUUUUAAAAAAUAGAGUACAAGAUAGAUGGAGGAAUAACUACUGCAUAUAUGAUUGUGUUCACACACAUAUUAUUUGCCUCCAUUCAUCUAUUGUUCUCAGUUGUUAAAAUUUUGCUAAAUAGGUUAGCCUAUCUUGUCUACCAAGAACUUCAUAUCCCACGAGCCAAUUUGGCUACAUGGACUUGCAAGUAUUUUCAGGACAUUCCUAGCAUCACUUAUCUUAGGAUGUUGUCCACAAAUAAAUAUUGAAGUUAGAAAUUACAUUGAUGAUGAUACUAUCUGUUCAUACUUAUGCCUGCAUUUGUCGGAAUCCUUUUGCCCUUGGCUUUCCAUUUUUUUAAAUUUAGUUAGCCCUCAGUAUGUAUUUUUAACAACUUUAGUUCUCAGUUUGCAAUAUUUUUUCUUAGUGCAUUUUCACUUCAACAUCGGAGUUCGAUGGAUUCCUUUAGUAAUAUGAAUGUAGUAGUCUUUCAUAUUACAUGAUCUCGUUGUUGUCAUUGAGAAACUAGCAAUCUUCAUACUCGGAUAUUGAAACUUUCUUUUUGUUGCAUAUUAAAUUUCUGAAUUGCAGGACCUGGUGGGCCAAGAAACUUAUGUGUUGAACCUUAAUGGGAAUGUUGUAAUGCCAGGGUUUAUUGAUUCACAUUUGCACUUGAUAUAUGGUGGCUUGCAGGUACUGCUGCUUAUUUUCUUUAUUUGAUAUUUAUGGUUUGUCAAUCCAAUUGGUUAAGAUGCUUGACAUAUAUUUCGUGUUAUUCAGUAACUCCCAUGACUACUUUAUAAUUGUCCACAUGCAAUAGUUUCAUUAUUGGUAAUGUGUCACACAUUUAAGUUACGUGAAACAUAUGUUAUAAAAUAACUUUUACUAGCUUCUGUACAAAAAAAAUUGAUUAAUUAUGCCAUGAGUUAUAAAAUUAACUAUGUCCAGAAGUCAUUCAAUUAGUGACUUUUUUUUAUUUUUUCUAAAAUUUAAGUAUCUAUCUCUUGGAGAUGGUGGUUUGUUCUUUGGUCUGAUAAUAUGAGUAAUCAAGUAUAAAGUUUAGCUGAAAGUGAAGAAACUUGUUAUGGGAUAAUCAGAAAGAUAACAAAACUAGUUAUCAGAGUAGAUGCUUUUCCAUUCCUAGAUAUAGCUGAAGUUUGCAUAAUUGCACAAAUAGUAUAUAUGCAGCUCAAUGUGUCUUAAGAUGGCUUUAAUUAGCUAAUUAAUAGAUUUUUUACUGUAUAACAGAGGCAACCAUUAUUUUUCUUAUUAAUCUCGUCUAGUUAUUCCCUGGUUUUGAGGCACAAAAGCUUAAGUUAAGGCAACAUGAGAUGGUACAGUGCCUUGCAUGGUUAAAAAUCUAGUUUGUACCAUGGUGUUGAACCCGUCCUAGGUUGGACCAACACGUCCUGACUGAUACCUGUGUACUGACAUUUCAUACACUGGUAUGUACAGAAGAGGAUUAGAGGAAGGAAGAAGAGGACAUAGUGGAGAAAGAGGAGGAAGAGGAAGAAGGAGAAAGACAAAGGAGGAAAAGGUGUUUGUAUGAUUUAGGUUUGACAUAUCAGCAUAUAUAUGCUCAUAUGAUUUAGAUAAUAUUCCAUUAUUUUGAUGAUUUAAGUAGUUUUUUCAGUUGCAGUUAGGGUGCUAAUGUAACUAUUCCAUCUAGUGAUAUAUUAUUCAUAUAAAACAUAUCAUUUUCCCAGAUAGUGAACGUAUUCCAGUGAUAUUUUGGUUCAUAUGUUGCUUUCUAUCACUCAGAUGGGACGAGUGGAACUUCGAGGUGUAAAAAGCCAAGAAGAAUUUGCAAGAAAGAUCAAAGAAGCUUUGAGAGGUUUACAUCUGUGCAACUAUCCUUUACGUAUUAAUUUGACAUUUCCAAAUUAACAGUUGGUUGAUGUAACAAAAUACAUAAUUCUGCUGGUCAAGUGAACUUGAUAUUUGAAUUUUGAAGCCAGGUUGGAGCCAACCAAUCUAUCAUUUAUAACAUGAACACAGAGCGAAACCUAACUAGGUUGUCCUUAUGUGCCUUUCAUUAUAUUUGCAGAGCAUAAAUCCUUCUUAGAAUUAAUUGAGACUUGAUCCAUCCAUUUGGCUCUAGCAAGGACAACAUGACUCCUCUUGGUGUUUCUCGUAUUCUACUAAAUCCUUUAGCAUAAUUUUAGUAAUGAACUUAUAAAGCACAUUACCAUAGGCAAUAGAUUUGAAAUUCCCAAAACCUAGUGGUACUACCAACUCCAAGCACCAAUGUAAAUGAAGUGGCAUUUAUUUUCUUGUCAAUUUCUUAGUUUUUUGCAAAAUGUGACAUAGCUAUUAUUAUGAAUUAAAAUCUCAGAAAAAGUGACAUUGGUCUUUGAAUGUACUUGUACAUUAGUGGUACACCUUGUUUGGCAUGUUGUUAUGGCUGGACCAACCGACAUGAAUUCAGUUGAUGUCAACAUGAAUUUUAAAAUCAAUAUAAAACUUAAGUUUUUGACUAAAGAAUCAAUCAAAAAUUAAAUUUUGGCUAAAAUUUUAUACUAAAUAAUUAAUCAAAAAAGUUUUUACGAUUUAUUGCAAAUCAUAUUAUGUAUAAGUUCUAAACAUGAAACAUGAUACACAUCAUACCUUAUAACUGACCUAUUACCCCCAAAAUAUUCUCCGGUAUCAAUGGGAGAUGGUUACAAGUUCUCAUUGUGGCUCGGUUGUAGAUUAAGAUUAUUUUUCUAAAGAACCCAUGCAUGAAAUUGUUUUGUUGGCAUCUGAUAUCAAUUUUUUUUUGUGCUAUUGAUGAAACAUAGUAGCAUAUGUGGUGGUAUCAUCAUCAAUUACUUGCGGUAGUAGGUUACUGGGUUAGGCACACUAUGACAAAUAUGACUAUGCCUGCUCGAGUAUAGUUGAACUAUGAGCUGUAUGAAGCAUUGAAUUAUGAGAAGGACCUACUAUCAUCAUGAUAUUAUUAUUUAUGAUAUGAGGUUCAUAGUGAGAGGAGAUUAUGACCAUGAGGAGUUUGUAUGAUUUGAGAUCUUAUCUCCUUGAAGUCAUCAAUUGCCUUUUUUUUGCCAUUGUCCUUCUGGCCGUAAACAAAUGGGGUGGAUCUGCAUAUACCAUGAUAGUGAUCCUGGGUGAUGAUUGAAAUAUUAUUCCCUAGACCAUGCUUUACUUUAUAUGUAUGAGUAAUGAGCACAUAAAACUCUAGGCCUUGACCAUCAUCACUAGUAGAUGCACUGUUAUCCAUCUUACUAUCAUCUAUGUGGACCUUAGAAAGAGUAGAUACAUCGGUGAAGAAGUGUCAUCCUCUGAAUUGAUUUGUUGCUCUUCGAUGAAAUCCAAUGGAUCAACCGACUUCAAUCACUGUGCUAUCUGGAUGAUUAUAACUGAUGCAUUCUGCCAUGACCCAUCGACUUCCGAAUGCUUGUAGCCAGACCACCUCCUGUCAUCAGGCCUUCCUCCUCAUACUGAGCAGCCUCGUCCUAUGGGUCGUUUUCCUUGAUAGCCUUUGAAAUGAAUGGUGAACUCUUGCUCAUUUACAAGUAAAUUACCUAACUCUCUAUUGUGUACUUUAGCUUUGAAGUGUAAAUGUUGCCUUCAGCUAGAGUUGGUGGCAAGUUAAGUGACAUUUCAUCAUAUGUCUUUAUAUUUCUGCAUGCACGCAGUGAUGAUUAUAAAUGAACGAGUGAUGCUCUCUGUUAUUGCCUCUGUCCUCUUCGCCAGUCCAAUAUCACCAAUGUCCUUUAUCAUGAGGUGUAUACAAUGGGCCAUACAUCAUGUCCAGAAAAGACGCCUUCUAUUGUCCAAUGAUUUGCUGGCCCUUUUUUGAGGUUAGUGUCAUUAUCGGAGAUCACUUGCAGUCUUGCACUAUACAUUUCUCUCCAACCUUAUCUACCAGUCUUCAUGGAUCCUGAAUGUAUAAUGUAUCAUGAAAAUGGUAUGAUGCAUCAACUGACUUAUAAAAGAUAAUUUUUUUUUUGUUGCAAUAGAUUAAAAAGUUUAUGAUAAUCAUCCUGAUAGGACCGAAUAAUAGUCACAUCAUAAAGGCCCCAUUUCUUCUUAAUUGAUAUGAUGCAUCAACUGACUUAUGAAAGAUAUUUUUUUGUAGCAAUAGGUUAAAAAGCGUAUGAUGAUCAUCCUGAUAGGGCUGAAUCAUAGUCACACCAUAAAAGUCCCGUUGCUUCUUAAAUGACUUGGGUUUUGGAUUUCAUCCACCUCUUUAUUAAGAUAUUAUAUAUACAUCUGUCAGCAAUCUCAAAUGAAUCAGGAACUUGUAUACCGGGACUAUGUUGCUAAAUGAACCAAAUAACUUGAUAAUAAGGGCCUCAAGCUACAUAUGCAGGGAUGUGGUAUAUAUUAACCCAUCUUGCAAUCACCUUUCAUAUAUUCUCUUUUUUUUCCUCCUUAGUAUGAGCAUCAUCUAUCAUGAUUUAUUUUGUACCUUGAAGGAGAAACCAUCGGUCUAAAUUGCCAACAUUAGGAGAUCGCCUCUUGCCUAAUGAAUUACAAAAAAAAGAAACUCCAUAUGCCCCCGCCUCAUAAUGGUAGUUUGGUCCAGCUCAUGUGCACCGCUGGGCUACAUUAGAAGCCAUGAGACAGGAUUCACGAAUAAUCUUUCUUAAGCUUUUUAACAAUAGCAUCCUUUUACCUCUUGUAUGUACAUUUGAGGUAUAUAAAAGAAGAUAUACAUGAAGGAUCUUCAUUUCAAGUUCUGUCUGAGCAUUUAUCAUGAAGAUUGGGUCUUCUCCAAUUUUAACUGUAUCAUAUAUUUUUCUGGGAUUUAUUUUGAGGCCGCAUUUUUUAGCUUAUUUUACAAUUUGCUUGCUGAUAACAUUUAUGCAUGUACUCUUUUUUUUUUCUCAAUAUUUCUGUUGCUACUUGUCACUACUAUUGAGAGAUGACAUUUUAAGUACAGCUUAGCUGUACAUACUACUGUUUGCUGAUAUUGGUACCUGAUCAGCUUUUACUUCUUGGAUCUUUCUGUUUUUCAAAUAGUUUUUAGCCCUAUGUAUUGUAGUAGGCAUAUGACGUGUGCAUGAAAGCAUCACCUAUUGGUGACCUUAUACAUGUUAAAGGAAAGAAUCACCUAUUGGUGAAGCCUUAUACAUGUCAAUAGUAUCUUUCCUUUUUUUCUUCUCUCUAACUUCAUUAGAAACAUAUUCAUGACAGAUAAACUUCAUGGUGAGUGGAUCUUAGGUGGCGGAUGGAACAAUGAUCUCUGGGGUGGAGAAUUACCUCUUGCUUCUUGGAUAGAUGGCAUCACACCUGACAACCCAGUUGGUUCUCAUGCUAUUAUUUUCAUGCUAUAUGUUGAAGUACCAACAGCAUAACUUGAUAUGGAACAUUGUUAUGGAUAGGUAUGGCUUUCGCGCAUGGAUGGUCAUAUGGGAUUGGCCAAUUCACUUGCCCUAAAGAUAGCUGGAAUUAACAACAGUACAUGUGAUCCAGUUGGUGGAGCUAUUGCGAAGACUUUGGAGGGCGGUAAAUAUGAAGCUCAAUAAAUUAUAAAAUACUAUUUUAGCAUAACGAAGCAGGUUAAAUUGAUAUUCGUUUGCAGUGCAUUAGUGGAUUAUGUAGGGAAAUUUAAGAUUUGAACAGAUUAAUUUCUGCUUGGUAACAAAAGAUGGCAAAAAACAAAUAGAUGGACUAUGAGAGCAAUUAUGGGGAAAUUAAACAUGUAAAGGAUUGAGGAUUCAUGCUUGACCUGUAGCCAUGAUGCUUGUAAAAAAUUUCAACCAAGUUUUUCCUAUCCAUAAAAAAAUGAUUGGUUCACAUUUGAGUUUUCACACUCCUCUUGGGUUUGGAAGUUCUGUAUUGUAAUAAGCUUUUUUGCAAGUGCCUUAUAAAAGGAACAUAAGUGGAGUAUUGUGGAAUCAACAAAAUAGCACAAGCAUUGGAAAGAAAGGUGAGCUAGUGAGAAUAGGUCUAGUUUGUCAAUUGACUCAAUUCAAUUAUUUUUUUGUUGACAAAAAUGUGAAGAUUGUAGCUGAAAAGUUAGCAGUUAUAAAUGAGAUGAAAGAUAAACUAAAAAAACAUUUAUCAUUACAAUCACUAAACAAAGGUAAUCACUAAUGCUUGGUGAGGUUAUGAAAAGACAACACAGAGAGAACAAUGAAGGGUAUGACUGAGAUUUAAGAUACACAAAUGGUGCCAAAUAAAAGAAGAGAUAAAACGUGAGCCUAGCCUGGCCUGAGAUUUAAAAUACUUAACAAAUAGUUGUAUCAUAAACAGUUGUUGUCAUAUAUUGAUACUUUAACUAUUAAAAUUGUUUAUACUUAUUUUAUAAAAAAUAAGAAUUUUAUCUUCUGCAGUAAUAUAUUGGCUAGAUGGGUAUAUGUACCAUGUGUAUAUGUUUGAUGCAGCACAUGGGUAGAUCAGAAUUUAAUUUCACAUGGGUAGAUCAUAAUUAACUUUUUCAAGGCAUUAAAAGUUUACUUGCAGGAUUUUUCCAGUGAGCUAUUAAAUUAAUAAGAAGAUCAAUAGUGGCAUUGAAAAAGAAUAGUUCCAAAUUUCAAGAUACUAAGAUACAAGGCACUAUGAAAUAGUGAUGUUUUUGUAAUUUGUAUUAGUAAAUUGAAACAAUUAAUUAGAUCAUUGGUGGUUGACAUUUUUAAUACACGGAAUAUCCAUAAAAAGAGAGGGAAAGGAGUCUGUGAGGGAAUUUCAUAAGGAUAUUUCAGAAACUAAAGGUGGCUAUGUCAUUGUUUUUACUUAUUUUCUCUGACGCAUGGUUUGGUAGGACACCACAUGUUGCUAUAUCUAGUGAAACACCAAUAGUAAAUGGAUUGAAUUCAUGCAUGAUAAAUAUGCCACUAAACGUGGUGACGGAACAAUUUGCAGUCAAUCAGUUAUAUUAUACUUAAACAACAAAUUCUUAUACCAGUCACACUUGCAGCUUCCUUUAAGCUAAUUGUAUGAUAUUCUAUGGUAAAUGAGCUUCUUCCCAGCUAGGAACCAAAAAAAUUAUAAAAAUUUUAUUGUUAAUGAAAACCAAAGGGUCACAGUAUUUCCUUAUGUCCAUUAGGUAUUAACAAUUACUUGAAAUUUAAAGUUUGGCUCUGCUUGACUUUGUUUUUCUUUAAUUUGUAUAAUUCUACAAUCCAGAGCCUAGUGGUCUGCUGGUUGAUUCUGCAAUGAAGCUUGUUCUAGCUGUGAUACCUGAAGUCUCGAUCCAUGAUAGGAGAGACUCACUGAUCAGAGCAAGCAAGUAUGCAUUAACGAGGGGAGUGACAACCGUGAUUGACUUUGGGAGAUUCUUUCCAGGCACAUCAGUUGAUCAUAUCUGGCAAGACUUUUCAGGUUACACUUGGGAACCUCUUUAAUUUUCUUCUCAAUAGUUUGAUGACAAGCUACCUUUUAUCCUAAAGGCUAUGUGCUGUCAUUAAAGGAGGUUAUUUAGCCUUCUCCCAUGUUGCAGAAUAUAGUCUAUUUCUUUACCCCAAGUAGUAAAGUCAACAUGUAUUGUUGUAUAACCUGCUGAAUCAAGUGAUUCUGCCACAUUGAUUAUUUGGGAUUAGUCUCCUUGGGGAAGACUAUCAUUAUUAUUAAAUAUAUAUUCCUGAAUUGGCUUUUCUACUUUAGGAUUAUCAUCUUAUCAGAUGGAUUUUAAUUGGUUGUGCUGUCCUUGAUAUACAUAUCAUUUCAGAUGUUUACCAAUGGGCUGAUUCUUCUGGGAAAAUGCUGAUCAGAGUUUGCUUAUUUUUUCCAAUGCAAACUUGGUCUCUACUGGUUGUAAGUAUCAGAGCCCCAAUUACAAUUCAUUCUUGUACUUGAAUUUUUACUAUAUUACAAUAUACCGGACCAAGUCUUAAAUCCGAGUAUUAAUUAUAAGAAUUCAGUGUAUUCUUCUUAAUUCUUAUCUGUUUUCCUUCACUGUAAGUUGUUCAAAGAUAAUAAAGUCCUAGACGACAUCUUAUUUUGUCACCAACCCAAUAAACCACAUCAUAUGCAUACUUACUGGAGGAGCAGUUGAUAUCAACUAGUAUCUUGGUAUGGAAAUAUCGAAUAAGUUUCUGGAGCUCAAAGGUCCAAUGCUAAAGGUAUCAAGCAACAACCAUGAAGUUAUACAAUUUAAAAAGGCUUGAUUUAUCUGUGUUUCACACCAACACUUGUUAGACACAUUUUGACACAUGUUGGGUACCUCGAAACACAUAGACUCUUUGUACCAUCUAUACUCGUUUAUAUUAACAUACUCUAUAUAUAUAUAUAUAUAUAUAAUUUUAUUUAAUGUAAUUUAUGCAUUCUUUGUUAGUUAAUGGUGUAUAUUGCAUGAUAAAGCUGUUGAUGUCUGACUUGCUAUAUGUUCCUGUCAAUCCCUAAGAUCCACUUAUAUCUUGGGGUGACUUCCACAAACUUGAAGCACUUUCAUGCCCCCAAAACUGGAAUUAAUAGUUGUACUCUGAUUGAUCUGUGUCCAUUCAACUGAUCCCAUAAUUAUAGGAGUUUUGUGACUAGGCUCUCCUUUUCUGAUCAGAAAUUAGCUUAUGAGCUAUUCUAGAAGUGGGAAGGUACAUUCAUGAAUUGGCUCUAUAGAUGUAUCUUCUGGUUAUAUGUAUGCUAUUCUAGGUUUUACAUAUGUGUGUGUGGUACAUAGAGGUGUCAAUAUCUUUCCCAAUUGUACAUUACUUGUGGAACAAAAUUGCUUACCAAAAUUGUAAUUCUACUAAACCAAAUUGAUUUUUCGUAUGUGUUGGCUAGUUUAGCUGUAAAAAUUUUGUCAGAUCACUGCAAGGCCCUGAGAUCACCAUCCACCUUCAACACUUAUCAUUUGCAAAAAAAACAAAAUAAAUGUUAGUAUAGAAUUGUAUAGAUGUACAUCCUAGCCUCAACCAAGGAUUUUAAUUUCGAAUAAUGUCGUCCGUACUGGGUGGCACGUACCGGUCCACCAGUAGACCGGUGCGCGGACUGCUUACUACCGGGCAGUACUGUUGAUUGAGGCUUUUUUUGCCCCGUUACCACCCUAAAUCGGUUGGUGAUGGUCGAUUUCGACCGUCACUAUCCGCUACCGGGUGUAUUAGCCGAGGGAGAAGAAAGAAGAGGGAGAAGAAGAGGGAGAAGAAAAGGGAGAACCUAGAGAUCCGACGUCGCUCUCCCUUGACAAUCCUGAUCCGUCGCCGCUCUCCCUCGUCGGACGUCGUAGAUGAGAUGUUGCCUCCUUGUCUGAGGCGACGAGGCCUCGACGUCGUCAGCGACUUCUCCUCAUCCGCGCGGGGAGAAGAAGCCUCGGUGACGUCGCAAGGAGAAGAAACUGAGUGUCGUCGAGGCGACCUUUCUUCUCCCUACGUGGGCAGAAGAAAUGACGCGACGAGGCGGCGACGUCGCCUCAUCGCCCGUUUUUGCAUGGGGAGAAGGAAACCUCAGUUUCUUCUCCCCACGUUGUCAUGGAUAGAAUUGUAAACGGGGUGUUUGAUGCAAUGCUCAUGUAUGCUCGUGUCUUUCGGUUUUGUUCAUGCUUUGCACAACAUGUAAAGGGCUGACAGUAGGCUUAGCAGCCCUAUUUUCUUUGGUUUUGGUGGUCGUCCUAAGCUUGCAAACAAAGGUUGUGUCAUGUGGGCACUUUUGGGGAUUUCGGUCUAUAGUGGAUCAUUUUGGACCCUUUAUUGUGCGACCGUUCAGAGCUUGUGAAGUCUGUUUGUAAUUUGCAUUGGCUAUGAAGUGUUUACUGAAAUGAUUGCUUGUGGAUCCCGAGUGAGAUGCUUUCUUUAACCUAUUUUCUCUUUUGUAAGUCCUAAGGGACCAUAGGAGGUUUCGGGGAGGCUGACCUUUGUGGACGGACACGCAAGGGUGCCACACGACUUUGGCAAAAUUAGCAAAGUGCAUGACAACAUUGGUAGAAAAACGAGUUUUCUUUUACUUUAUAUAUAUAUAUAUAUAUAUAUACCAAGCGGUACACCAGAAUGUACCGCUCGGUAUACCAUACCGUAUCGUAUCGAGCUGAUCUCGAUACUCUGAUACGGUACGAAAUUACAAACCUUGGCCUCAACCAUAAAUAAAGUUAUGUACAUGAAAUUUGGACGACAUUCAAUUGACAAGUGUUUUGUGACUAUCUAUAUGUUGUAAAAUGGUGGCUUGCUUAUUUUCUUUUAUUUAAGUGUCUAUGCUUAACUGCAGUUUGGUUAUUGUUGUCCACAUAUUGCCUUGAAAUCUGUUUUUACUAAUGUUUCUUUGAUAUAUCAAUAGAUAAUCUUUGUCUCAAAUCAUUACAUCAACUGUUGAUUCCUUAGGAUCUUAUUCAAGAAAAAGGUAGAGCCUUGAGUCAAUGGAUACAUUUGGGUGGUGUCAAAGCUUUUGCUGAUGGGUCUUUGGGAUCUAGUAGUGCACUUUUCUACGAGGUAGGUUACCAUUUCUAUCUAAUACAGUAUAUUCAUUUAAAAUUCACGCAACUGAUCUUUCUUGUUUAAUUCCCUUUAUGUAAAUAAAAUGUUAGCAUAUGCAUUUUAUUUGAUAUGAUCAAGAACAUGGAGUCAGCAUUGCCAUAAUUACUAUUGUUUCAUGCAGUCAUUUGCUUAUUUCAUUUUUAAUUUUAGGUUAUGGGUCAUGUCAUGGUUUUACAUGUGCCUGGUUGAUCCAUCCAAAAUCAAUAUUCUAAACUAGUUCCAGUUAUCAUAGGCAAUUACUAUAAUUGUGUUGCCUUUGGGUUUCUAUUUGAGCAUACUGAUUGCAUACAUUAUAAUAGUUCAUCUUUAAUGUUCUAUCAAUUGAAUUGCAAAGAGACUUGGAAGAAAAAGGUGCCAAGCGUGUAAGAGAUCCAUUUCAAACGAAAAUCAACCAAUUUUAAUAUACUUGGGUUAAGUUCCACUUAGUUCAGGCCAGCGUUCGCCUUACUGGUUCAUACCGAUGUACCGACCAGUCGACGAUAUAGUACACUACAUACCGCUCCGUACCAACAUACCAUGUGUUAGUAUGGCAGGACGCACCGAAGACAUGGAAAAAUGGCUGAAAAUAGCUCCAAAAAUUCUUUAAAAUAGAAAAAACAUAAAAUUAGUAAUUUUAAGUUAGAAAUAAAUAUAAAUUUAGUAUAAUUUUAGCAAAAAUAAUCUAAAUUAGGAAAGAAUAAUUGCAUAUAUCUUUUUCGGGCUUUGAGGAGUAGCUGUGUGGUAUGUUUCAAAUUGUUAUUUUGUUGAUAUUAAAUUAUCUACAAGGAAAUGAUUUGAAUUGUUAGAUUAUUUGUUAAACAACUUAAACUUUAAGAUUUAAAUUAAUUAAGCAAUCAAUUGAUGGAUAUACAUGGUUCUACCGCCAAAAAGAACGACGGGAUUUCACAAGUGAUGGAUCAAGGUUCUCGAGUAUAUGUAUAUGUAUAUCAAUUUGAUAUAUUUGUCGAACCUAAUCCUGAAAUUGAUCUCAUGAUAUAUUAUAUUGAUACACCAUAUGUCAUUAGUGUAUUAAUGUGGUGAUGGUCAUAGUUUGAUUGUCAUGAACCACAUAUCCGAGGCGGCUCCUAAGGCAAGUACGAUUGUGGCAUGUAUCGGUGGCGGAGGUUAGAGAAAGCUGAAACUUCUACUUUUGCUACUGAUAUAUUGCUUUGUAUCAUAAGAUCGAUUAUCGUACUGUUGCUCGGAGAAGAAUGACCAACUAUCAUCGUAUUGUUGUUGGUCGUAAGAUUCUCCAUAAUACGACAACUGUGAAUGCGAUGAGUUCCGCUUUAUGUCUAAGUUAUGUAAGCUCUAUUGCAUCUGCUCAAAAUCAUCCACUUCCUUCCCCUUCUCCUUCCGUGUAUAAACUUAACCAGUAACUCGUCAAAUUUCAUGAUCUGAAUCUUGGGUGGCAUGUGUAAGAAACUGCUCCUGGUCCAUCCACCACUCUUAAAUUAUGUUGACGGGACCAUCGACUCCCUGACAAAGCCGCCAUCGUCGGUCGAGGCACUGCUGUAAACAUCACUGCCAUGUCUUCGGACCGAGAGGGUUGCUGAAUGCAAUUGAGAAGGUGUUUCGUUAUCUGACUCGAUUCUUUCCAACAGUGGUUGAUGUUACUGCCUUCCCUUUUGUCUUUUCCUUGCUCGUUGGCAAACGAUUGUGAUAGUUAGGUCUCUAGUUCCUCGAGUAAUUUGACUCGAUAUUGUUUGGCUCUUGCCACGUUCUAACCAAGGGUGAUCUUCCUCUUGUUGGGGAUAUGAACAAGGGUUUGACCGAGAGUGAUGUUUUGCCAUGUUCUAACUCUAGUUAGAGAGUGAAAAGGGAGAGAAUGAGGGGGUAUAAAUGGUUUAAAAACCCUUAGAUCUAGUUCAAAUGGUCAAACAAAUUGUUUGAAGUCAAUAAAUGCCGACCAUUGAUUUGUAUCGAUUGAAAUCCAACCGUUACCGAUCGGUAAUGGUCGGAUUUCGAUUGUUCUGAUCAUUACAGACCCCAUAUCGGGCUAUACGGGGUCCCUUAUUAUGGACCAUUUCUUUCACUGUAAAUUGAGAUGACUUUUUGAGAAUGAGCUUUCAAUUCCUUGAUGAGUUUUUUGAGAAAAGCAGGCCAUGAACUAACCCAUUUCGGAUUGUUCAAGCCAGUUUAUAACCUCCCUCGUCUCGCUUUAUCAUUGUCACACUUGACUCUGUGCCCUACAACUCAAGCCACCCACCGCUCAUCCCCCCUGACCCUGUCCGUAAAAGCCACUUGAUGCCUGCUGCCCAAUACUCCUCAUUCUCUUCCGUUCCUAGUCCUCUCCUCUCUUCUCCUCUUCUUUCUCCUCCUAUUCACCUUCUCCUUCUCUUCUUCUUCUCAUCCUCCUUCCCACUUCUUAGUCACGCAGCAUGUACCAACAUACUAUGUGUAUGCUAUCAUGAACUGGACCUGUAUCAGUCCAGUCAGGGACCAAUAUGGAUCUAGUACUUGAGAUUUCAAACCCCUUUUGAAACCUUGCCAAUAAACCAAAAUUUUUAACAAACCUACAUAGGUCAGCAUCACAAGGUAAAGAAGAAAGAGCAUAAACAAAGAUAAGCAUAAAAAAGGAAGAAAAGGAGAGAAACACAUCCAUGAACUCCUUACACAGUUAGGUGUCAAAAACUGGAGAAGUUGAGAGAUCUCUGCUCAAGAACCUGAAGCCCAUUUCUGCUAGAAAGAAAUUCAGGGAGAACCAUGGCCUGAACCAAGGUUUACUGUGCCAACUUGUACCUGGUGGUACGAGCGGUACAUAUCAGUCCGAUAGAGGAUUGACACGUGGACUGCCUAGUACCGAAUCAUGAUUUCAUCAAUCGAGAUAUAAAUUUCAGGUUUCCUUUUCAAGUUUACGGAUCUGGAUGCAUACGGAUCCAAGUUAGAAAUGCAAGGAUCUGCCUUAGAUGCCUGUAAAUCACAGCGUAAAUCUUUACAGAUUUGACCUAGUUCCACACCCAUAUAGGUUAGGUCCGUGUGGAUCAGGCCUAUAUAUUGGUAGAUUUAUGAAGAUUCACACAAAUCUGACCAACAUCUAUGCAAAUGCCAUAUAGAUCUAUGCAUAUCUAUGACUCUUCUGUGAGAUCAGACCUUGAUUUCCAAUAUUAAAUUUAUGAUUAAGAUGGACAAUUUUUGAAAAAAAUGACAAUGAUGCAUUGGAGCACUGGCCUCACGUCGCAGUAGGCUCAUUGUUUGAAUAACUGCCAUUAUGGCAAAUGCAUUUUCUAUGACUACAUUGGUCCUGAUAGAGGAAUAACCUAUCUGAAACAACUUUUGGCCACCGGAUUUUCAAAUGUGACCAAAUGCAUGAAGGUGCCACCACAGCAAAUCAGAUCAUCUUUCUGAGCCUGUUGAGGAAGAGAGGUUUAAGAAGUCCCAAAAAAGCCCCAAAGGGAUUUAUUAUGGAUCCAAAACUGGGGGUAAGAUUAUUGUUUGACAUAGGGGCAGGUAAUGGUCAAAUACUGGAUGUUAUGUUUGGUACGAUAAGUGUAACAGGUGGUAUGCCUGGUUUUGAAACAGCUCAGGCAAUUUUGCGUGUUAGAGUGCCGGUCCCCUGUCAGACAGGUAUAGACUGAGGCCUAUCAAGUGGUACAUUUGGUUUUCAAAAUAAUUAGGUCUUUGGGCAAAAUUAGUUCACCUUUUUGUUUAAUAUACAAAAGUUCAAAAUAGCCUUUUAUAUAGAGCUUUGGAGAAAUUGGUAUAUGUUAAUUGUAACAUGCAUCUAUGAGACUAUGACUAUAAUACUAAAUUGGGGACAAAGAAAAGUUGGGGACCGAGGAAGAAUCCAUUUGAUUACCUAUUGUUUAGGAUGAUUCAGACCCUUUGAUGGACUUGCCAUGGGCAGCUGAAAAAUCAGGAUGAUGUAGUGCACGUUGAAGAUGGAGAUCCACCAUAUCCAUUGAAGCUCAUCUCAUACUGGAUCUAGGAGGAUUAGGUGGCUGAUGAUUCCGAGCCUCUAGCAAGGGCGUUCGACCUAAGAAGGAUGAUAGAUUCAAGCGCCUUAUGUAUAACUUCAGCAGGAUCACGAUGCAUUUUAGUCAUGCACAGGAAGUCUGUCACAGUCAUCCAAGGGCAAAAUGAUGUCAGAGGUCACUCAUUACAAUUGAUUCUUUAAAUGCCAUUGAUGACUAACAAUUUGAGGAUGACAUGACAACCAUCAUGUGUUUUAGAAUGAUGAUAGUGAUGAUAGUAAUGAUGAGGAUGACCAGGGCUUGAGUUUCUGUCUUCCCAUGAACUAGAGUUGUGGCAUGCGGAUAGGAACAGAGAUUUACUUAUUCCGAUCAAGAAAAAGAUCAUGUCUUCUGAUCCAAUAGAAUUUAUGAAAAAGGAGAAGAGCAAAGAAAAGAUAGUUGAUGUCUUCGAGGAGAUAGGGAGAGCCUAGCUGAGACUGAGUUUGACAAGUGUUCCUCAUGGUAAUUGCCUUCCUACCAGCAUAAAUUUUGUAAGUCAGAGUAUGCUUUGAUCUGAUACUGAAUCAGAGUUUUCAUUUGCCCACAGCGAGAAGAGCAUUGGAUUGAUAGUUCUAGAAACUACUAACAAAUAUGUAAAAAGUAACUAGGCCCAAAUAUGCGUAGAAAAGGGGAAAGUUGAUUGUUACAAAUGCGUGCUAUUACAUGGUAUGGCUUGGUGCUGGUACCAUACAGGUCUGAUCACCAGUCAGUAACACUAUCAGGCCUGCAUUUUUGGUUUUUGGUCUUGUAACAUAAUUAGUUAGAAAAUAUGUUAUUGUCUAAUAUUGUUUCAAGCAAAAAUUAUGUCUGUUUGCUUUUAGAUUUGCAUUUUGACUCAGUUGCACAUGAUAUUUAUCUAAUAUUAAUCAUUUGUUCUUCUUAAACUUGCAUAACCCGCAUUUAGACUCACAGAUAUAUUCAUGUCCUUUCAUUAUAUAUAUUUGCAAAUACCAAUUCUAACUUGUUGUCUAACAAUGGAGUCUUAAUGAGUUUCUUAGCCUUAUGAGGAGGAUCCAUACAGUUAUGGAUUGCAAGUAACAGAUAUAAAUUGGCUCCAAAAUGUGACAUUGCAUUCAGACAAAUUUGGACUUCAGGUAAUAUCUAUUUAUUCUGGCCAAUUUGUGCUCUGCAACUAGAAGUUGUUUCUAAUGUGUUAUUAGUCAUGUAAUCAGGUUGCCAUUCAUGCCAUCGGAGACAAAGCCAACGAUAUGGUGCUGGAUAUGUAUAAUACUGUUGUAUCUUAUAAUGGAAUGAGGGAUCGCAGAUUUAGGGUCAUGUUCUUUCUUUAUCUGAAUGAAAUUCAUAGGAAGUUCAUGUGCUGUUAGUCUUUAGCUGUCUUAUGCAUUGCUCAUCUACUGCUGAGAAAAGAGAUGCUUUUGUUUAUUAUGAGCUUAAUUCUUGUUGUCAUCAACUAAUUGGCCAUAAACAGAUUGAACAUGCCCAACAUCUGGUUCCAGGAUCAACCAUACGUUUUGGUGAACAAAGAAUUAUUGCCUCUGUACAGGUAAACCGGAGAGCAAUUAUUUAUUUAUUCCUUCAUGAAUAUUUAUCAUGGGCUUUCUACUAAGUUCUGUAAAAGGAAAAUUAACUAAUAAUGUAUGGUUGAUCUUGUACACUCCAAUGUUUGGUAGAGACUACAACAAAGUCAAAAGUUCCUGGAUGUCUUUACUCUCCUUAUUCAUCAAGGAUCUCUAAGUAAAUCUUUUGAGGCUGGUUAGUUCUUGUGUUUCAUAUGUGAGAAUUAGGAGAGAAGUAUCUGGACAUGAUACAAUAUGGUCACUGUCUGUCCUUUUUGAAUGAAAGGUUUUAAUUUAAUUAUUUUGGUUCUUUUCGCUGUAUACAGAACUUUGCUUAUAACUUUAGACAUGGAUGGGUAUUUUCUUAUUCCUGCUUUACAUGACAAGAUGAUGAUGUGGUGAACUCUAAGAUACAUUUAUUUUAAAAAUUAUGAAAAGAAAAGAAAACAAAACUUAUGUGUCUUUCUUCUGGAUAGUUUGAGGCCAUCGUAUCAGUGUGAGACACAUCCUAGAUGCAAUAUCUUUGGACUACCCAUCUUUCCUGUUUGUUUUUUCUUUACAGUAAGGUAAGAGAAUGGUCAUUCACACACUAUAUACAGCAAGAAUUCAAAUUACAGUCCUGUACAAGUUCUGGAUUCUGUCAGACUGUUAUGGUGCUUUGUAUACCAGGCGAUACACCAAACUGUACAGCCUGAUGUGAUGAUGUCACUGAAGAACAUAAUAAAUACAACAAUGAAUGAUAGUGUCCUAUAUCAAGCUGUAUACUUUGGUGCCGAACUUGAUCAGACUGCUAAAUACCAAUCAAUAUAUAUUGGGGCCUCCAGUAUUUAAAUCCUUGAUAUGCAGUAGGAUCCGUCCAUCAAUUUCUAGAUUUGUUGGCAUACAUGUCCUAGAUAGGUUCAUUAAGUUCUGGAUCUUAUAUCUACUGCCACAUUCCACCAUCCAAUGAUUAAAGGCAACAACAUCAAAUAUCUAUGCUGUGGGAAAGCUAUUCUUGAUCUAAGCUCAAUUUUUUUCAAUUCAUAUGUGUGGCGCAUAUAAACUUGAAAAUAAUAAUCCUUUUUCUUUUUAAGUCGGCUUAGAAGCUUCACUAACAAAUGCUGUGCAGCAUCUUUGUUCUGUUGCUCAAUGGAAUGAUCUACACAUUAACAAUAACGAGAUAUAUUUCUUAUGAAAUACUUUAAGCUUCCAGACCUUUAUCAUGGAAAAUUCUUGACUAUGGUAACCUACAAAAAGUUGAUGAUGGAUUACAAUAUAUGAAUAUGCAUGUCAUCCAUCUAGCGAGCGACAGUGCCAUACUGUUGGCAUCAUUAUGCUUAAUGAUUUUCACUUUUGCUAUUUUUAUCUUUUUCUUUUUCUAUUCUCUGUCUUCAUGCUUGUGAAGUCCCCAAAGAGAAGUAUAAUAUGAACAUCUUCAUGCACCAAUAUCAUGUUGCAUGCCCAAAGUUAUUCUAUGUCUUAUUGUCUCAUCAUUGUUUUCUAAUUCUAUAUGUACCACAAAACCUGUUUUGAGACAUUAGUUCUUGUUGAAGAAGUAAUUCACUGAUUAGAAAUAUACUUAUGUUAACAGCCAGAUCAUCUCCUGGAUGAUGCUAAUUCUGCUGAAAAAAAAAUAGGCACCAUGAGGGCUCAGAGAGGAUCAUAUUUGUUCCGGUCACUCAUUGACAGUGAUGCAAUCUUAGCUUUUGGUUCUGAUUGGCCGGUGAGUAUUCUUAAGUAUGAUUUUUUCUUAAUUUAAAACCUCGAGAAACUUUUACAUAGAUGUACCACUUAUGAAAGUUGACUGCUAAGUCAUUGCUGGUGCAUUGUCAUUCUAGGUUGCUGAUAUCAAUCCACUAGGAGCCAUAAAAACAGCACUAUACCGAGUCCCUCCAGGAUGGGAAAAUGCUUGGAUUCCGAGUGAGCGUAUGGCUUUAUAUGAUGCUCUGAAAGCGUAAGAUACUUUCCUCCUAUUGUCUUUGCUGCUGUUGGUUUACAAAAGAGAUGACACGUUGGGAAUAUUCAGUAGUUAUUGCUACCUUAAUUUGCAAGUUUGGCACAUACAAUUGCAGUGAAUCAAAGCUUAGUUGAAAUGGAUGAGAUACAGAAUGGUUCGCCUUAUCGGUUCAUACCGAUGUACAUACUGAACUGUAUUGACAUAUUGACACACGAUAUGGUGGGAUGUACAUACAAAUCGAUAUGUACCGCCCAUAUUGGUCCUCUGUCGGACUGGUAUGUACCGCCUGUAUCGGGUGGUUUGUUACGGUAUGACAAACCUUACAUAUACCAAAAAAGUAUAUUUUUCUUUAAAAAUUGGCAAUUGUUCAAAAGAAAACAGUUCUGAGAAAGUUUUUCAUGCCUUUGUGAUUUUCAAAUGAUUCUUUGUAGAAGGAAAGAUUACGUGGAUAACUGCCAGUACAAAUUUAAGGCUGGAUUAUUUAUAAUCUAGAUUACAUAUUAAAAUAUUGUUCAACAUUGAGUGAGGAUCUUGAUAGAAGACUUGUCAUCAAGAAGGUAAUACGUGGCAGGUCUUGGGUUGACAACGUGUGUAUGUAUACGUGUGCAUGCAUAUUUGUAUGCAUUUACAAUUAAGAAAACUGUGGUUCGUUGAUACCUGGACCAAAAAACUUAGGUUUUCUGGUUUCUUUGGCCUAGUAUGUAUCUAAGUUCUAGAGUUCUGGUUCUCUCUAUUUUUUCUUCUUUUCACUAAUAUGUUAUCUUUCUUUCUUAAGUUACCACUCAGUUACUUUACCUCACAAGUGUCAAUUUGUGAAUUUUUUUCUUAAUAGCAUACGAACUACUUGUCUCAUUAGAAAUAUCAGUCAUAUACCUGGUGGUGUGUAAAAUUUUAAACCGUCCUUACUUCUACCCAAAAUCCAUUGUGGGAAAUUGUUUGAUUUUGGGAAUUUGGAUUACCACCUGCUAUUUAAGAUUCUGCAGGUCUUAUCAUGUGGUCUAGUCAAGUUGGAAGGAAGCAAGUAUUAACUGGCAUGGUCAUUGUGCUACUUGAACAAGAAGGCAAACCAAAAGGAAAACAUGAAGAUGUGGAAAUAAGUAUAAAAUACUAACCUCAGUUCUGUCCAGCCUUACAUUAGUUAUCCAAUAUCCACAUUAAAUGAAUCAAGGCAUUUAGCAAUCAAGCAAUGAGAUGUUCUCUUCCCAGCCAUUUUUUCACUUAUCUAGAGCUAAUGUGAGGUGGCAAGGAGUGAUAGGGCCACCAGGUGAGAUAGAACAGCAAGAGGGAGGGACAAGAGUGCAGCUAUGAACCUUGUGAAUUUAAAAUUGUUAAAGCCAAGGUUUAUAAUACCGUUGGAGCAGUAUGGACCAUCCAACAACCUACUAGCAUGCAAACCAAGGUAAACUGGAUGGUAUGCCUGGUAUAAGGCUCAUAUCGCUAGGUAUGCUCCAGGGCCAUAUAUAUAUACAUACAUAUAUAUAUAAAAGGUUUUUCUGAAACUUGGCACAUAGCAAUAUACCAACACGUGUCGCUCAUAUGGCUCAGACCAUAUGUAUCGGUGUGUUGGUAUGGCUCAGAGCACCUCAAAGUUCAUUUUCUCAAAUCGUCUAUCAAAGUAUGUUUUCAUUAACAUACUGCAUAAUGCAACCAAUUAAGGGUCAUUCUGAUGAUGAUUCUUUGAGGUGAUUUAUGUGCAAUAAUUAUAAUGUAGGAAUGCUUAAAAUAUCUUGGACGGUCAUGCCUUCCAUGCAGGGAAGAGGCCAGGAUACUUCUUAUUAGGCUAUACAAUUAUAAUAACUUUUGGGGUUACUUUGAUAUGGAGAAAAAUAUUCGAGAUCAGGUGAGUAUAUCAGGUAUCAUCAUACCUUGAGAUUAAAAACAAUCUGAACCUUAACAAUUUGACUUAUGGACAACAUAACCUUUUGAGGCAUGGACAUUUCCAAGUCUCUGAAGAAUUACUUGAUGUGCAUACUAGUGGAAAUAUAAGACUGAAUUUUGAAUAUUAAUAAUGCUAUGUCAAAUGGAUUAAUGUUGGAUUUUUUACUGUCUCUUAGGAUAUUUGCUGUUUAAUGAUUUUAAAUCUGACCUUCAUCCAAUCAUGUGUAGAUCUUCUUUCAACACAUUUGCAACUUAAUUUCUUUCGACACAUUCAACAUUCAAAACAUGUUGAAUGUCUAUAUUAUUUCUGAGUUGCAUCAGAUACAUUAAUAUAAAAUUAUUAACAUCAUUAAAUGCUUAUUUUGAAUAUGGUAGGUCGACCAUUUCAGCUGCCUACGCUGGCUUCUUAGACCAAGAGUUGGGUAGUCUGUCCGCAGAUAAGUAUGCAGAUUUUGUAGUAUUACCAGUCGAUUCAUGGGAUCAAUUGGCAGGGGAUUUACCUACUACUGUAUUGGCAACUUAUGUAAAUGGCAAGCAAGCUUAUCCAUGAGAUUGUACCAAAUUUUUUUGCCUGAGUGAUGAAUCAAGGUGUCCUUGAGAUAAUAUAUAUAUAGAGUGCAAAGUUGAAGGUAGGGAUGAUAUGCUAUCAGCAAUAGUUGCUUUUAAUUUGUAAAGAAUCAUUAUGUAACUCAUGGUUGCAUCUGGAAGCAUACAAAGGUACGAAAGUAAAAACUACAUUUUGCCAAGUACAGAAUUUUAAUAGGUUCAAGCACCAAGAUUAAGCUUCUUUAGAGGUCAUCAUCGAUUUCUUUUUGUAAUUUUUAGCAGGUGCAAUCACAAUGCGAUCGAGCAGCUGAUGUUGGUAUGUUGUUCUAAACGAUUUUGAACUAACUGACCAGUGAACAAAGGGUCUUUUGUAGUUCCGCUAUGCUAAGCAUUCCUCACGGCUUCUAUCGAGGCGAGCAUAGACAUCCAGUUCCAGGGUUGUCAUCCACACCUAUCUGCAGGUACAACAUUUGAUUCUUGUGAUGUGCUUUUAAUCAUCUUCCUCUACUGUGAAUCAUCGAUAUGGCUCGAUGCUAUAAAAAAAACUUGCUGCUAGUGCAUAUCUCAUAGACUAGUGAUCUAAGUUUUAUGUAGUCUUAAUUGUUUCUUCUCAUGUACUAGUUGGAUUAAUUUUGUGUUUAUUAUGUAUAUCAUUUCCGUUUAGGACUCACUGACCUACUAACCUCUGAGAUCACUAAUACAUGCCAUCAAAACUGAUCCUUCCGUACACGGAUAGACUUGCUGAAGUAAAUUUUUUCUAACUUGGUUGAAGGAGUCCCCAAAAGGCAACCUUGGAGCAUAGUUUGGUUUGCAAGUUAGCAGGUAGAUUUGUAGAGUCGACUGAAUCAUUCUCAUGAUGAACUAAGAGAAGAGUUGGUACUCGUUCAGGAUAAAGUUUGAUGAACAGGACAAGAUUAUGGCCAAGCUUUGUCCAUUAGAAUAAGCAGCCAAAUAGUAGAAAGUGGUAAGUUCUUGCCCCAAUCAUUAUUGUGCUUGGAUAAGCCUGUGUUGCUUAGAUUCGAAGUUAACUUCGAUGGCUGGACGUCAAGAACACAGGGUGUUAUGUACAUGUCAUCUCAAACCUGUCGUGAUAAAUGCGAGCUCAGUUGGUCAACCAGCCAUACGCUUAAAUCAUUCCAAGGAAGAAGAGAUCAAAACAAACCCUCCUAAGCAUCAUUGAUGAUCCAAAGUUGUUUUUGAAUUUUGAUCUUUGACUUUUCAAAGUGACGUGAACCGACAUUAAUGGUCAGCUUUGGACGGCUGUUCAACUCGAGUCCUUCGAUGUGGGGAAGAGCAGAACAUUAAUGGCGCCCAUUGGCAUUACUUGCUUACUACUGUUCUUCCCGUCACCACCCCGUAUUGUGGAAGGACUAGUGCUCCUUUCGUUACCAGUUGUUGACCUUUUCAUUCAUUAGUACAUGCAUGCACGUUACUAGCCAUGCAUAGUUUUCACCCACUUGGCUGCAUCACAAGUGUAGUCAAAGGGAAAUUGCGCUAAUUAUAUAGGAAAUUAUGCUAAUAAUAUAAGAUUAAUGGACGAAGGCAAAAUGGUAGAAAGAGGUUUUUGGCGGCGCAUACACUUUCCUGUAUCAAAAGUCAGUACUGGAUUUUAUAUUCUAAUGUUGUUUGAAGUUAAUAAGUCAAAUUGACGUAUGCAUCAAUGUAUGUAUCAGUUCCUGUGCCAUAAUGCAUUCAACGAUAAAAUCUAUUCCAAGCAACUCACCGAGUACAAUGAAUCAUCUCAUGAAGCUGACCUGAGUGAUUUGACUAGGGCAAAUUUCGUUCCAAGUCAAGGAUGGAGAUAGAUUGUGUCACGGCCAUACCACCACAGCACAACACCAUUUGUGAUUUUGUACAUAUAAUGUAAUCUGUUUAAUGUAUGAUAACUAAAACGUGUACAUAACUCCUUUAUCCACUAAAUUGACACGAUAAUUUUACGCAACAUCUUAAGUACAUCCUCAAUUUAAUUCAUCUUUGUUAAAACGUAUAAUCUGUAGAAGCCUCUUCCUUUUUUUUUGUAAUCUUGGGACGAUGUCCUCAUUUUUAGGUUUUCUAUUUGAUACGUUUAUUUUUCUCUAAUAUCAUAAAUACAUGUUAGCAUUGAGAGGAAAUAGAUGAUCACAAUAAGAUGAAAGCGACGAAGUUGAAAUAAUGGGUGAAAGCGAUAAGGCCUUACGAUGGGAUAAAGAUGAUCACAGUGGGACGAAAGCGACAAUGGCGAAGGAUAUUUAGGACAUAAAAUGAGAAAAGUAAAAAUAAGAGAAUCAUACCGUAAAAGCAACAAAAUGUGAUUUUUUUAAAAAAAAAUUAUCCUUUUUAAAAUUUGUGAUCAUCUAAUCAUAUCUUAAAGAUAAUAUUAUAGUAAAUCAUGAAUUUGAGUCGAAAAAAAUCUUUCUUGCGUGGCCAAUUUAGCAAAUCAUGGAUCCCUAUCACCAUAUUACCAAACCGCAUAUAUUUCUUGUCUCAUUAGAUCCACCAUACCAACCGAAGUCAAGAAGGAAAAGUUAUGAACAUUAAUGCCUGUGAUGUACGUAUGCAAUCACGUAUUAAGAACAAAUACUGACAGCAUACACGAAAACACAAAGCUGAGGGCUUUCAUUGCUGAAAAUAUUACAUGUUUUGACAUAUCCGAAUUCAAAGUUGAUUCCUAAGUAUGAUCACAUUUGAAAGCCAAUUUGGAAGUCAGGAGUGCUUUUCUUAUACGUUGAAGAAUUGAUUUCCAGUCGACGAAGAAUUGAUUGGUAAGGAGGAGGAUUAGGUUGCCAUCAUUUCGAUAGUACUCACGACGCAGAGGGCCACAAUAGAAGGAAGAAAACCUAAACUUGGCUGGACCGACAUAUAAUAUAAUUCUUGUGAUUUAUAUUCUAGUGAAAAUGUCAUGCAAUAAUAAUAUGUUCUCUCCAUUGCAAAAUUCUAGUAAUUUAUAUAUUAUUAUACAAAGUCGAUAGGUUUCAUGUUCGAAAUUAUUUUUUUCAAAAAAAAAAAUUGUUUCUCUUAUCAGAUUCAGAUUGAACAUCAAGACAAACCUUGAGUCACAUUUAAUAGUAAAUAUAAUUAUGUAUACAAAUUUCAAAAAUAAUAACUACAAGAAAAUAUAUAAAAUAUAUAUUUUUUGCAAAAAAAAAAAACCAAAUGCAUAUAAAAUAUAUUAACUCAAAAUGAAAUAUCAACUAUUAAGUACAAAAAAAAGUUAGUUAGAUAUGCCCAAUUAUUAUCAAUUGAGCUAUGUUCUAAAUAGAAUAAUGGACUUGUAAUUUCUUUAAAAAUAUUAAAUUAAAACACAUAAAUUAAUGUAUUGCAAGUCUCUCGUGUGUGAAUCCAUUGGCCGGCUGCGAUUGAUCGAAUGUUUGCUGAGUUAUGCCAAGCAUGGUUAUCGUGUUUUUCAUGCUAUUAAGCAUGGUUAAUAAAACUCGAAUUGACUUGAUCUCGAUCGGUUUGAUUCACUAAUACGAUUACUUAGAGUGUUAAAAUAAUUAUAAAAAAAAAAUUCUUAAGAGAUAUUUAAAUUCUUUUAUUAUAAUUAAAAAAAUGAAUCGAUUAAUAAGAGAUAUUUAUCACUCUCUUAUGGACAAAUUAAGCAUAUUUUUGAAAUAUAUCAUAUGAAACUUUGAAUAUUCAAUCUUUAAUAAGUGAGUCUGGUGCACUUCUCAUCAUCAAAUCAAAAUCAAUAUUACGCGAAUCUAUAAUACAAAAUUGAUGUCGACAGUUGGAACAUGUUAAUUAAGCAUACAAAAUCGAUGUCGCCUAGCCAAAUCUAAUCUCCCUAUCAUUCGCUCGAUCCACAUCCAAGUCACUUGGAUACACCACCGAUCACACGUUUCAUCCUCAACCCACUUAAAAUACUUGGGAAAUCAAAUCACGGCCGACAUGUUACCAAAUCAAACUGGCUGAUAUCAUUGACAAUGGAGCCAUCUUCUUAGGUUCAUACCAAUCACAUUCAACAAUUCUAACCCUAUAUUUUUCUUUGCUUUAGGACGUGGCUCCCUCCAACCCACACUCUAUGUGUGCAUUUAUAAUUGCGGUUGACCGAGUCCAACUAAAUCAUGCAAUGAAUUCAAUGCAUUUUUAUGUAUUGAUUGGCUAGUUUAGAUGGUAAUAAUCAUCAUUUCAAGUUUUUAGGAUCAAAAUCCAUCUAAUAUAAUAUAAUAUAACGAUUUUGUUGGAUGAUAAACUAUUCCAAAGUGAGACUUUUAUGUAUAACACAAGUAGAGAUAGAAGAAGAUAGGUGGUGAUAUAUCCUCGUAGACAGUUGACUUUUUCCCAGCAACGUCAUGGCGUCUGACCACCGACCGGAUCAAAGACCUAAACCAUGGAAUAGUCCAAGUCAACCCGCCUCCCACCCCUUCCUAUAUAAUUACUCACCAGUGGCUCUUCCUCCGUUCUUCAGCCCUCUCAAAGUCAUAAUCUUUGGCUUCUUCUUCUUCUCCAUCUUAACCAUGGGCAAUGGGAUCUCUCCUUGCUUCAACCCCGCCUCCAAGGGCGGCCUCGUCAAGCUCAUCUUCUGGGGCGGCGCCACCGAGUUCUUGGCCGAGAAGCAGCUCGCCGGGCAGCUCAUGUUCCGGUUCCCGGACCGCAUCGUCUGCCACGCUGACUCGUUCUACAUCGGCCACCCCGUCCCCGUCCUCUCCAUCGACGACGAGCUCCUCCCUGGCCAGGCCUACUUCGUCCUUCCCAUCGACAAGUUCUCGUGCCACGAUCCCCUCACCGCUGUGUCGCUCGCCUCGCUGUCCUCCGGCCGCACCAAGCCGUCGCUGGCCGGCAACGGGGAAUCCCCCUUUGAGUACGUGAAGGGCGAAGACGGCCGGCUGCUGAUCAAGGUGCUCCCGGAGUUCAUAACCAAGGUCAUCACCUCUGUCGAAGACGGACAAAAGUGUGGCAGCGACGGGGGGACUCUGUGCACUACGCCGGAGUUGAGGAAGCACUACUCGCAGCUCGUCGGGCCGAGAGAUCACCCAUGGUCGCCGAAGCUGGAGACGAUAUCGGAGACCAAGAAAAGGAUAUCCGCAGGCAGGUUAUCGCCUGUUCGGCUAUUAGGGUUUGAGAGGAGAUCAUGUUAACUCCUCCUGUUUGUUCCACAUGCAUCUAAUGUUGCGUACGUCCGAAUGUCGCAGGUGAAAGCUAGCCGCUCUGAUUAGGGUUCUUAGAGCAAGGUGUAUAUAUUUAUGGACAUACAUAAUUUAUGGACGACUACCUCUCUUUUAUCUUUUAGCACACAAUUUGAUGGAGAACGAAGAAACUAAGCAGUCAGUCGAUUGUCCAUCAAAUCCUUACCUCUUUUUCGUAAAUAAUGACCAUAAGAUUGUUGAUGAGUAUGUUACAAUAGACUAUCUUCUUCUACAAUGUCCCUUGUGUAAAUUUCAUAGCUUCAAGAAUCAUUUUAUGUCUUCUAUAUUUUAUAUUUGUUUUUUGGGUUGAGACAGUAAGUAUAUUAAGAUUUGUAGAGUCAAUGUCUCAUUAAGACACAAAAUCCUAGGAAAAAAGAGUCGUGGGGUUUGAUUCUUUUAUGAAUAUAUUAUGUAUCUCUAUAUUUUGUUGAAAAAAAUAAAAUAUGAGAAUUACUUUAUAUGCUACUUAAAUUUUCUUUAAGGUGUUAAAAAUUUAAAGAGGGUGAGAGAAAAAAAUUUAAAUUCUUCGAGACUCAGGUAAAAAUUGUGUAAGGGGAUUUGUAAUAAAGAUUGAGUUUAGAUAGUCUUAUAAUUGAUUUUAUUCAAAUUAUCAAAAUAUUUUAAUUAGUUCAAGUUUUUCUCUCUCUUUCUUAGAUAGUUGGGAGAUUUAUUUAUUUUCGAUUAUUCCUUUAACUUCUAAAGUCCUUGAUUGAUUGGUGAAAGGAGACGAGAAAAGAGAAAUUAUGUCUAGUACUAAGGAGGCCUAUCCUACUUUGUGCUUUCCGCGUUUGCUUACUAAGUGUUUGUAUUUACAUUGUUACGAAGAAAGUUAUAUUAUAGGAAAAAAAAAAAGUAGACAGUCAUUUUUGUAAUCCAAUAGAUCUUAUUCCUUUAAAUGUUUAUAUAUUUUUGGGCAAAUGUCAAUGCCUCCUUUAAUGUUUGGAUACUAUAUUAUUAGCAAAAUGAUGAGAGGUACACUUAGCAAUUUUAGAUAGAUUGAAUUAGGAUGAAGUCUUGUGCAUCAAAAUCCAAUAUAUAUUUAUAUAUGUAAGUGGAUGAAUCGAGUUCGAUUAGAUCAAUUGAGAUGCAAGUAUUUUUUUGUGAAUAGAAGGACAAUUAUUUAAGAGACACAUGAAUUAAGAUUUCAUGGUCAUUAAUAUAGAGAGAGAUGGAUGAGACACUAAUCCAUGGGGAUUAGUGGUAGAAAGUGUGUGGCAUUUGCAAUAAUGAGUUAAGUAUCAUAUGCAUUUGUUUUCUAAUGAUUUGUCCUUUCCCGUGUUUCAUAGAUUUUCCUACACACAGAUUUACUAUAAAUCUUGUCUUGUCCUAUAUUUCAUGUGUUAUUGUUCCUCCCUCAGUCAACGUGAUCUAUGAUUCGGAUCUAAGGUAUGAAGUGCAUUAGGAUCUAAGGUAUGAAGUGCAUUAGAUCUUACAAAUCGAGUGCCAACAUUUAUUAAACCCCUUACGGCUUAUCAUCUUAUUCUAUAUAAUUGGGUCGCUUAAUUAUUAUGUUUUUCUUUUGUAUUUAUGUCAAAUGCAAAACGUAAAUAUGGCAUCAUCAACUUCUCCCUAAUGCCGAAGGAUUGGAACAAAAAUGCAUAUCAUAUAUCAUCUCUUAUUCAUAUUAUAUUGUUUAUCGGGAACAUCAAAACUAGAUUUAAUCCUAAGCGUCAAUAUCUUUCUAAGCUAAGCUAAGCUAACAAUGGCUUCUUUUAUCUUCUUCUUAUCUUUUAAAUCUAAUUAAUGUAUCCAUACUGCCUCUAAUUUCGUCUCCAAAUUGAUAAGGUUCUAUGAAAUUGGUCGUUGUAAUCUUUCCUUAAGUGUUUUAGGAUGCACAAACCUAAAAGUUAUAUUUGAGAACAUGUUUGCAUUUCUAAUGUUUAGUUGGAAAAAGAGAUUUGAAUGCUUUGAGUAUCUGAUAAAUAAUAGAUGAAAAUUGUAUUUUAAAUAUGUAUUAAUGUAUAUUUUAUUCAAUAAAAUUAUAUUUCAAAAGUUCAUUGAAUAUUUUUGAUAAGUUUACUCUUCUGAUGUUCUUAAUAUUUAUUCAAAAAUAAAUAUAUAUUUUUUAAUUAAAUUAAUAAAUAAAAAUAUAUAUAUAAUAAUAAAAAUGAAUGUAUGUAAUCUUAUAAAAAUUUUGUAUGGCCCAAAUAUAUAAUAAAUAAAAAUAUAUAAUCACAUAAAUAAAUAUAAAAUAAUCUUUAGAAAUAAAUAAAUAAAUAAAAUUUUAUCUUAAAAAUAUUUUAUCUUACUAAAUUAUUUUGGUAAUAUUAUAAUUUUAGAUUAAGUUACAAGGUAUUUUUGAAACUUAAAAAAUUACAUUAGUAUCCUGAAAAUGCAAAGAUUAGUACUAAUACUAUCCUAAAGUAGUAUAUGAGUAUUUCCAAUACAGUAUUAAGACCAGAUGUGAUUUGAAAAAGAAUUUCCAAACAUUAAUCUUCAUUUGAAGUAUGCAUUGGGUCCACAUUCGAAAUGUAUUCAUUCACAAAUGCACCCUAAAAUAUCAUUCAUAUGAUGUUUAUAUACAUAAUUUCACAUUUAUCAUAUAUCAAUUGAUCCGACUAUGAUUGGAUUUGAAUCGGAAUUAAACUUUUGAAUAAAAAAUUAAAAAUCAAAACAGAUGAUUUUGGUAGAGAAUCGAAAUGAUUGAUUCCCAAAUUGAAAUUGGGAAUUUCCAAACACUAAUCUACAUUUGAAAUAUGCAUUGGGUCUUCAAUGCACAAUCGAAAUGUAUUCAUUCCUAAACGUACCCUAAAAUAUCAUUCUUUAGAUUAUACAUAAUUUCACAUUUAUCAUAGAUCAAUUGAUCUGAUUAUAAUUUAAUUUGAAUCGGAAUUAAACUUUUGAAUCAAAAAAAUUAAAAAUUAAAAAUUAAAAUAGAUGGUUUUCCAAAUUGAAAUUGGAACAAUCAAAUAGAACCACAUGAAAUGGAUUUGAUUUCAAUUUCAAAUUUAGUAAAAAAAUAUUUUAAAAUUUUUCAAAAUUAUAUUAAAAAUAUUUUAAAAUUUUCAAUUAAAUUAACAUUCAUAUGAUGUUUAGAAUAUACAUAAUUUCAGAUACAUAAUAUAUCAAUAAAUUUGAUUUGAAUCGGAAUUAAAUUUUUGAAUCAAAAAAAUAAAAAAUAAAAAAUAAAAAUAGAUAGUGUCGGUUCAGAAUCGAAAUGGUUGAUUCCUAAAUUGAAAUCGGAACAAUCGGAUUCUGAACCAAAAAUAGAACCUCAUGCAUGAAAUGGAUUCCAUUUCAGUUUCAAAUUUAGUAAAAGGGAAGUCACUGGUAGGCAUAUCAUUAGGUAGGAUGGAUGGUGUAUCGAUCAAGCAUCUCCAUGCCUUUCUCUUCAAUUAGUAGUUCCACAAAUCUAUAUGGUUAAACCUCUCCACCCAACACCUGAACUUGAAGUGCAGCAGCUGGAAGGCACACUCACCAACUCGACUUACCAUACCUGCAGAUUUGUUGGAUGGCAGCCACCAACACCUAAUAAGUUUUGCAUGCAUAUAUAUCACCCAAACAGGAAGCACACACACCACAAGCAGCAGUAGCAGCAGCGAUGGCUUGUGCCUCAGGUGUUAGGGUAAACCCUAAUAACCAGCAGCAAAAAGAGGAAGAGAACCUUAUCGAUGAAGACGAAGAAGAAUUCAUCGAGCUCGACUUGGAGGUGCUGAACCGGAUUCCGACGCCGAGGUACUACGAGAGCUAUCAGGUAACCAGCGAUGCCCUCCUCGCCAACUGCCUCCUCCCCGUCAGGUACGUAUGCAACGCUAUUCCCAUUGACAGCAGCUUGCAUGGGCAGCACCCCUCGAUGAAGCCGCAGCAGUUCUACUACAAACUACCUCCCUUGGUGACGACGACAGGCACCAAGAGUAGCCCAAGGUAACUCCGUUGGACCAGAAACAAGGUGUCGAUCAUACGAUCGUGCUUGUUAGAUCGUGUAACCGGUGCAUGUCAACUAUGUCGACCCAUUGUCUUUCACUGGUGCAUCCAGAAUUCAUAGUUGAUCUGCGAACAGCAGCGAAGUAGCUUUUGACUUCAAUCUUUCCUUAUUUUCGCUAAUUCACCCCCUCUUAGUGUAUACAGUCAAAUAAGCUGAACGUUUCCGUGAGGACCUCCAUCAUCAGAAGAAUCACAUCCUCUCACUAUCAUUAAUCCAAUUCAUCAAAUAUAACAAUAUGGUAUGCUGUGGAUUUCCAAUACUUUUCCUCAUGCCCUUUCAAGACAUGAAAGCUACACAAAUACACCACCAGUUGUGGCUUUCAGGGAGCCGAUAGAUGAGCAUUUUGGAGGAUUUCAAAUCAAGUAUACAAUUUUUUCAGUAUAUUCAUUUUGUGGGGAUAUAUAACGAGGAUAAUUCAUUUUCGUGUUGGUGUGAUGCUUCAUUUUAUUGUACAUGUACCCUUCAAAAUAUAGAAAACUCACCUAUGCUCUCAAAAUGAAGAAGAUGGUCAGCAAAUGAUCAACUUCAGAGGUGCAUCUACGACAUUUCGAGGGGCAUCAUGAAUGCCUAUGACACUUCGUAACUUUAAAGUGUAUAUAUGAUAUUGCGGGAAAAGUCUCCUAUGUAGCUUUGUCUUAUUAUCUGCUAAGGCUUUUAGAGAAGAGACCGCUCUCUCUCUCUCUCUCUCUCUCUCUCUAGCAAUGAAAAAGCUGGGUAUAUAAUUUUCAGAAUUAUAUAACUAAAUAAAAUAAUAAACAAAUAAUUUCUAGGCAACUUUGCUCAUUAGGUCGAAGCGUAUUGAGAACCCUACAGGUGCGAAUCAGGGUGCCGAGCACGAGAACAUGAUGGUUUCCCCCUGUGACAAUGUAGUAGAAAAGCGGAAAGAGAGAGAGCAGUUUCCCGCACCAAAUGCUUCUUUUCAUCAUCUCCAUCUUUCUUCGUCAAAAGCGCGAGCAUUCAAAAGGGAAAGGCGAGCGACCAUAUUCCCAUACCAAGUGAGUGCACCUGCGUGCCCAAGUGCUCAUGAAUCCCUGCCUGCAGCGCCUCUGCACCACCUACUAAUCCUUGCGUUUCUUUGACUGACUUCGUUAUACGUACAAGAAAGAAAAUGAAGGAAGACGCAGAAACUUCCGAACCCUCUCGCGCUCACCCGCACCAUGCGUCUCUUCCUUUUCCAACUUCUUUGCCAAAGUUGGAGCGUCCGAGACCAGCAUAAAUGCAUGCAUUUAUCCCGCGCGUGCCGGCACACAGCAGAGCAAAUAUGUCAGAAACCAAGUAAAUAGCAACUACAUGUUUGAAGAGAUCGAUCACUGUGAUCCAUGGUCUGACCCAUUCCCACUUCCAUUGAAGCAUCAAAUGACGGUUGCUAUCUUUUUACUACGUUGGGGGAUGCAUUGGAAGCCGGAGUUCAGCUGUUCCCAAGAAAAAUAAAGAGAAAAAAGGAUCUCAUAGCUUGGGAUAGAGCUAUGGAGCAUCGAAACCCACCAUCUUUAGCACCCAUGCAUCAGUAACAGAACAAAAUUUCCCUCCACUUGCAGUAGCUUCUUAAGAAUGCAUUCUGGUCGGGUUCGAGUUAGUAACGAGGAGGAGGAUGAGCAUGAGGCGGAGGACGAGUCGAGGAAGGCUGCGCCCACAGAACCACGUCGGUGUGGGAGAGCUGACCAGGCAACGGACUGGUCUCGCCGAGGGCUACCAGCGCCUCCGUCUCCGGACUGACGUCCUCCUCCUUGACCCCCUCCUCGUCAUCCUCCGACAGCGGCAGCCGAUGGAACUCCGGCUUCGCGAACGUCGCAGCAACAAGCAACACCGGCCCCACAGCCGUCAUCGGCCCCGCCACCGUUCCCCCUAUGACUUGGCCAUGCGGGCCCGCCAAGGAGACGGUCAGGGGAGGCAGCCGUGCGGUCCAGGCGGCCACCGUCGGGGCGGGUGCCCCGGCGGAGGCGGGCGGCUGGGGAGGGAGCAAGGUGCCGGAGAGGGAGAGGAUGUCGAAGCGUCCGGGCACGGAUAUGGUAGAUGGGCCGUGUGCCGACAAGUGUCGGAGAGUAACGUCGGCAACGGUGCCACUGCCGCCGAGGACGGAGACACCUACGCGGCGUCGGCGGGCGAAGUCGGUGACGCCAGAUACGAUGUCGGAACCGCCAGCGAGCUCCAGGACCACCGGGUGCAUCGCCGACUCGCUCGCCUUGGUGAUGACCACCGGCGGCUUCGGCUUGUUCUUGGAGCCCGGAGGCCGCCCCCUGGGCUUCCGCGCUGCCGAUCCACCACCCGAAGAAGGCUCACCUCCGGCGCCAGAGGAGGAGCCUCCACCGCCGGCGCCCCCGCGGGAGGAUCUAGCUCCAGAGCUUCCGCCGCCGUCCUCGUCGUCGUCGGAAGCGGCCCCGUCACGGGGCUGCGAGAGGCCUAUCAUGGCGGUGCCAGGCGUCCGCACGAAGUCGGACAUGCCGCUGCCUUUAGUGAGCCGGACCGACACCGAAAGACGAAACCCGAAACGGCUCCUCAGUAGAAGGAACAGGCGAUGGGUGCGCCCUCCCGCCGCUUUCUUUUAUAGAGCGCCCAAAAAAGUCGGCAUCCCGAGGAGUUACGUUGGUCCUCGCAUUGUCGAAAAGCUAAACUGGACCUCUCCAUCCGCACCGUUCACUCGAUCGACUACGAAGCCCGAUGUAACCCCAAUCUGCGCUUGCUGCCAUCGAUAAGGAACCCACAGCCGUAGCUCACAGGUGCACUUGGUUGCACGAGAGGAAAGGUGGCGACGGUGAACGUCUCAUCCGGCCAGUGACGAAGCGGAGAAGUAGACGGGACCCACGGCAAAAGUUGGGGAGGAGGAAGAGGGGAGAGAGAGAGAGAGGGGAAUCCUAAACGCUAUAUCCAUGGUAGGGGCGGUAGCCUUUGCUCGUGUCGUCCCAUCGACGUGUUGCGUCAGUGGCACCAGUGAACCUCUUUACACGGUCAAAUUGCCGAACUUUUGAUAGAUUUAGAUCGACGUGCGCUGCUUCGAGAUUACCGCCCAGUGGGAGCAUCAAGUGAUGGGUGGUGCAGGAAGCUGAGGUUUCCACGCCCCCCUCCCCCCCAUUAACGUGUUUUUAAAACAUCCCAAAAGAACUCUGGAAAACAUUUUUGUUUUUCGACACACGAGUUUUGUAGCAAAAUAAAUAAAUAAAUAAAUUGAAUUUUUGGGAAGAAAAAAAAAUAAAUUAAAGUUUUGUAGCAAAGAUAUCACUGAAGAUAAACACAACAAAGAUAUCACUAUAAAACUAAGCCGAAAAAACUCUACCAUCACAAAUCUGAGUAAUUCGGAAUCGAUUCAUCGUGCCAAGAGUGCUCAGUAAGUAAUCUGUCAUCCAGAAAACAUCGGUCUUCGUACAUCCAUCCAUCACGAGAAGCUUCAAUCAAAUGCCCAUGCACUUUCAGCUCGAAUCCGUUGCAAUUCCUCGUCGGUGAAGUCACAUUCGAUAUCCAAAAACUCUCUGAUUUCCUCGACAGACAUGGCUUUGAACUUAUCGGCCAGUACUUUACAUGAGAAGUCGAACAACGAGGUCGCUUCGAUGUAGUUGGCAGCUCCAAGCACGUCGAUCAUCGUAUUCAUGUCCGUCUCUAUCAACUCCUUGAUUAUUUGCGUCACUUCUUCAGCAUCAUUCUUGGCAUUCACGUUCAACAACUCUAGCAACUUAGCGAGCACGGGAGCUGUGACGUUCAAGAGGGGGACUUGCAAGCCAUCGGCGCCGCCCAUGUCCGAGAUGAGGUUUCUGAUCAUCUCACUCUGGUUUGUGAUUUCUUCCACGUCUACCACAAAUUCGUCGCCAUUGGAAGCCAUGAGAACAAUAGUCUUCAUUUCGGGUUUCGAUUGUGACGACUCACCCACUAAAAUUUCUUUAGACUCAGUCGACAUGAUUGGUUUUUCCGAGAAUUCAGAAACCCUAAGCGAAGGAAAAAGAGUCAGAUGGCAUAAAAAUGAUUUGAUCAUUUCAUUUAUUUAUUAGAAAUAAGAGAGUUCUUAUUUCCUAAUCGAGAGACAUGCAAAGUAUCAUUUAUACUGUGAGAACAACCUAAAAGGCUGCACUGCACGAUCUACUUCUUUAUCCAACACACCGAUCGAGCAUGACGUGAAAUAGCUAUACAAGUCUUAGCAAAGGAUUCAAAGCCAACCUCAUCUAGAAGAAGAAGAAGAAGAGGAAAAAAAUACAAUUUUAAGUUAUAGUACCAAAAUCAAAUCGAAAAGACUUGUGUCAUCGGAUCACUAAAAACAUUUUUACUAUUGAAAAGACUUGUAUUACAUAUUUAAUUUAAAAUAUUUUAAAAUAUAAAAUAAUUCAAAAUUAUAUGUAUUAAAAAUAUAAAGUAUUAAAAUUGAUUAAAAAUAAUAAUCUUAGACAAGUGAUAAAAAUAAUAUCCUCGAUCAAUGUUUUAAACAUAAACUUCUAUCCAAAUUAAAUAAAUCUAAUAAUAUCUAAGAAUUAACUAUGUUAAUAUAACCCAAAAUAAAUUAUUUUAAUAAUAUAAAAUAAAUAAUCUAUUCAAUAUAGUCGUCGCGACUUAAGUAACAUACUCAUAUUAAUUUUUCAUAUCUCAAAAUGGAUAUUGUUUUAGUUGUCCAAUAUCAGUUCUACGGCAAUAAACUUAUAUUGCACAUGAUAUUUUAAAAUUUUAAACUCAUUUUUCAUUUAUUUCAACUUUUGAUUCAUUCUUCUAUAGUCAUUUUAGUGAUCAAAGAGAAAAGAGGUAAAGAGAAGAUAUGUAGAGGAUAGGUGAAGAGAGAGAGAGAGAGAGAGAGAGAGAGAGAGAGGGAAAUGAGAAGGCAAGAACAACUAAAAAAUAGAGAUGAUUUUUGUAAAACAUGUCACCUUCUUCUCAAGUUAACCCUAGUUUCAAAAUUGACAUAAAGACUUUUGCUUGAGUGAUUUAAGCUAAGAAUAUUCAAGUAAUUUUUGAUAAGAGAAAAUCUCGCUGUUUUGUUGAGGAAAAAUCUUUAUCCUAAUAUGUAUAAAUAAGAAUAUAACUUUUUUAUAAUUUCUAUCUUUUUAUCUAUUAUUUCAUUUCUUACAAUUUUAACUAUAUUAACAAAACCAGAUUGGGUUUAUUUAACCAGACCGGUUUAUACUUAGUUAUUCAAAAUAUAAUCGGAACAAUCAAUUCAUUCUGAAUUUUUUAACAUAAUUGAUCUAAUAUGUGAAUCAAACUUGUCAAUGGUCUGAUUACUGUUUUUUCCAGCUCGAUCGUUCGAUUUAGUUUGAUUAUGAUACCUAUGAGUAGAACUCCUACAAACAAAGACCAAAGAAAAACUCCAUGUUAUCUCAUCCAACUCUUCAAAAACCUCAUACGAAAAUAAAGAGAAGCAAUAACAUAAGUUUUCUUUUUUUUUACCUAUUAUCUCUCUUUUUGUGAUGUCCAGCCAAACUUCUUGCCACCUGAGAGAGUAGCGUGAGGAAUGAUGGGUAUUUAUACAACAAAUGAACCACAUUUGGCAUCUAAAACCUUUCCCAACUAAUUAUGAUUCCUAAUUCCAAAUUCCAAAUCUACCAUCUAAUUAUUACCUACUCUUAGUCCAUUUUAAUGAGUGCCAAACUAAAAUUUAAUUACCAUAAGCUAAUUUAAUAGGAUAAAUUUUUAUUACAUUAAAUAACGUAAAAGACGCUCACAUGUAGACUCAAACCUUAUAUUUAUCACUUAUAUAAUAAUGUACUAACUAUUCGAAUGUCUCAACAAAGAUAUAUAAUCAUAUAUUUAUCACUUAUGGCGGAUUGGAAAAAAUAAUAAUAUUUUUCUUUCCCUUUUGUCUAAAUUUUAGUUUCCUCUGUCUUAAUUGGUAUAUACCCAUUUGAUAUUCGCAUUUUCAAGUUUUUCAUGUCAUAUACCAUGUAUUUUUAAUAACAAAGUUGAAUUUAUUAUCAACUUUUAUUUAGGUUUAUACCUAUAAGGAAGACAACAUUCAUUUUGCAAACCUUUAACUUUUAUCUUUCAAAAUUUGAGUUACCUUUCUUUUUCAAAUAUGAAAUGGUUUUUUUGGAUGAUCAUGUCUAUCACAAAAGUUGAUAAAAACAAUAAUAAAUAUGAUGAUCAUGUCUAUAACAAAAGUUGUAUUUAUUCUUAAAUUGAAAGUAUGAUUUUGGGACAUAUGAGAUUGGUCCUUGGGCAAAUUUAGUCCAUGUCAUAUUCAAUAUUAUUUGAAUAGAAAUCAAUCUCUUUGCUUCUAAAAGGUUGAGACAUGUUUUCUUAAGGUAAUAUUGAGAGAGAGUCUGACCUUAAAUUUAAAUAGAGCUUGUUUUGAGAUUUUUUUUUUCAAGUGAUCUAAUUAAUUUAUUAUUUUUAGUGGAAUAUAGGCAACUUUACCUUUUCUUUCAUGUAAGCCCAUGUUUGUGUUUUCAAAAGCAUUUAAUUGAAGGGAUAUUUUGAAAAUAUUAUCUUUUAGUUUUUAGUUUUCUUCCCUCACUAAAUCAACAUUUAAACAUAUGGUACAUAAAGAUAGUUUCACAUGCUCAUUUUUAAGCUUUUAUAUACUUGACUUGAUUUAUUGUAGUCAUACAACAAUUCAACAUAUGCAUAAUGUAACUCAUUAUAAGAUAUCAAAACGAGGCAAAUUACAUCCAUCGCUUCCUUGUGCCAUUAGAACAUAAUUUGUUGGUUGUUUCUAUAUCUCUUCAUAGGCAUAUAUGAUCUUCUCACCAUAAGUCACAAGUAGUAGCAAUAAGGUUAAAUCAUUGACCUCGUGUGUGGAUGUGAUCCUUAGAUUCCAAGCUUCUAAGGAUCUAAGGGUCUUACAAGCCAUAUCAUAAAUAGAAAUAGAUUUAUCAAGAGUUUUUAAUUGAGAAUUGGAUUAAUAUAUCACCAAUAUAUUUCAUUGUUUUAUCAUUAAAAAAACUUAAAAGUAUGCCAAAUAUUAAAAAUGGAUUUAUAUGAAAAUUCAAUCAUACUCAUUUUGACCUAAAGUAUAAUACAAAUCAGAUUAUAAUUAGAAAUAGAUUUAUCGAGAGUUUUUAAUUCAUUGUUAAUAUUUGAGAAUUGAUAAAUACAUCACCAAUAUAUUUCAUUGGUUUAUCAUAAAAAAGCUUAAAAUUAUACUUAAAUAAACUUACGCCUUUAUGGUAAUCUUAAAAGUAUGCCAAAUAUUAAAAAUAUAUUCAAAUAUUAAAAAUGGACAUAUAUGAAAAUUCAAUCAAACUCAUUUUGAUCUGUGUUACACAACAUCAUUGUGUUCAAAGACUAGCAAAGGGCCAAUCAAUCUCGUCUGCCCAUGCAUGAUGUGCCAAACCACCGAUUUAGUUGAGAUCCUCAUGACUACAACAACCAUCUCUUCUCUUUGUUGAAUGCCUGUUAAUUUUGCCUUGGUUUCUUGAGUCAUGUCAAUGUUGCAUUAUGCUCUAUAUGUUCUUGUUUCUUGAAUCGCACUGUAGGCCUUUCUCAUCCAAGGAGAAGGUCAGCGGUGGUUGGACAUGCUUUGCUGAUUCAUUUCGUAAUCUACUCGGAACAACUGCCAUCGGAUUUGCUUAGAUCGACUAACUUCGAUCAAAUCUGACAUGCAACUCGUAGUUAGUCAUUGUAACCACCAAUCUUUAUUUGUGUCGCUACGACGCUACGCAUGUGAGUGAUUAAAGUCAGUAUGCCUUAAUACUCUCGCAAGUCUCAAGCUUCUAUUGUAUCCUAUAUGAGUGGUUCAAAUCAACACGUACCGAAGCCCUCAUGUUUUUAUGUAUCCAACAGCCUAUAUAAAAAUGGUUUAAGUUAGUACAUCCCAAAAACUUCAUGUAAUCAAGUUGCAUUUAAGUUAAUAUACCCCAUACCCCCGUAUAUAUCAUUCAUAUGAUAUCUAUUAUGUGAGCAGUUCAAGUUGACAUUUCUUAAUAUCGUCAUCUCAUGUGCCUAAUAAUCCUUACAUUUAUGUUCUUGAGCAUCUACACAUCUCAGUUGCCUUACAUGGGUAAAACAUGCUAACAUUACUUCAUCAUAUUUUAUGCUGAUAAUAUCUAUUAAGUUCUUGAGUCAAAUAUUAUACUAUAAUAUAGGCAAGCCGAGCAAAUGAUAUGACUAUAUUUGACGAGCAAUGAGAAACUUAUUUAGGCUCAUGACACCCAAUUGGUUAUUGGAGCCCACUUAAUGACUAGAUCAUGUUGCGUCAUCUAAGCUCACAUAAAUUAGUUAGAUGAAAAGGUGGCACCAUAAACAUAUCUAAUCAAAAUUAUAUAUAAAAAUUAAUAUUCCUUUAGAAACUUUGGCUGAGAAUAUUAAGGGAAGUGAUAUGACAUAUUUUGGUAUUACUCACGUGAACCCAGACAAACAAACACGACGAUGCAAAUGUGAAACUUCAAAUCCGAUGUGACGUGUAGCACACAUGUGGUGGGCAACCGCUUGUCGCCUCCUCCAUACAAACAACAUCAUCACGGUACAAUUGUCUCGGAAAGCUCGGAGCGACGCCACGCGAUGUCGAUCCGUGCAGGUCGAUCGACACUCGCAUAAAAGCUUAAGCCGGUCGUAGUUAAUUGACCCUGUACGACCAACUCAUCCUCGUAGUUAAUUGACCCGACCCGACAUCGAUGUGACUCGAGCAUCCGCGUGGGCAAUCUUGUGCAUCCAGGACUAGAUCAAGCCAUGUUGACACCUCGAUCACGACGUAAAGGUUGACACCUCGAUCAAGCAAAAUUGUGUCAACAGGAGCCAUGUUGACACAAUUUUACAUAAUCAUUUAGCUCAAGAAAGAAAUACCAUAAAAGAGAAAACAUAAGGUGGCGACUAGCUUAAACAAAUCUAAGGCAUCAUCUAGUUUGCUGACAUGACACAUUUUUGGAGAACAAGCUAGUUUGACUUCUCUAUAUGGUUGUUGACGAUCAUUUUUAUAUUAAAAUUAUUAUCUUAUAUUUUGAUGAUAAAAUUAAUUGAUAAAUUUAAUAAACUAUUCUUAUGUCAAGAUAAAUGAUACAUGAGAUACUUAACUAAGAGUGCGGACAGGAUAUAUGAGGAUCAAUUGUCAAGUUGAGAAUUGAUAUCAAGCUAGGGGAUCGAACAUCAAACAAGAAAAUAAAUGUUGAUCCAAUGGAUCAAACAUAAUGUUAAAGGAUUGAAGUCAUAUAAUCAACUAGCAUGCUAUAGGAUUGAUUGACAUAGGAUUGAUUAAUGUAUCAAAGGAUUAAUCGGAGCCUUGGUAAAGUAAUUAGGCUAUGAAUAAGUUGCUAUUGGACUAAAAAUAGGCUUUCACUAAAAAUGAGUAAUGGUAAUGAUGAUAGAUAAUUACGGUGGUGCCAUAUUCCAUGUUUUAGAUACUUUUACUUUAGGUUUAUUCAAAGCCUUCAAAAGAGAAAGGCAUUAAGGUUACUUGAUUUUAAUCCAAAGAGUAUGAGCGAGAUAACGAAAGUCGAUGAUAUUUAGAAAUAUGGAAUCACUAAAGACUUUUGUUUCUUCCAUUAUGUUAUUUCUUAUUUAGACACUUUCUCAUUAAUUUUACAAAUUAUAAAAAAAUUAAGCAUAUUUGUACUAAUUUAUCCCCAAUUCUAAUAAUGAGAGCAAUAUUCUCUCAUCUAGUUUAACAAUUAAAGAAAAUAAUGAUAUUCUUUAGUAAAGAAGAGGAUCACUAUAUUAUGCAUCCUUCCAUAUUCAAUAAGAUGGAAUACAUAUUGAAAUACUCAAAUGACCUAUUUUUUACUUUAUAUUUAUUUUGAUAUUUGAAACAUUAUCAAAUUUGAUUUUCAAAGUCAACGAAACUAAUGCAUAAAUAUAAUGAUUUUAAACAAAUAAAUAUUUUUCAUUGAAUGCUAAGACUAUGCAUGACUUAUUUGUUUAUUAAAAAAGUUCAAUCAAAUUUUCACUUAUAAGAAAUCUUAAAUUAAUAUAUUAGUAAAUAAUUAUAAAUUAUUAUUAUAAUUGAACCAACUGAUUUACAAAUAUUAUGAAUGGGUUAAAAAUAACUUGAUAAAAAUUACUGUAAUAUUAAAUCUUUAAGCAAAGUUCUUAAGCAAAAUUGACCAUAGAAGAAGAAUAGAACCAAAACAUAAUUCUACACAAAGGACUCAUGCAAUCAUUUAAUUUAUGAUAUGAGAUACAAAGGCACACAGAAAGUAAAAAAAUAAAGUUGCCAUCUCAAGAAAGGGAUUAUACAAGUGAAAUCAAAGGCAUAAGGUAAAAAAAUAAUUGAUAAAUAAAUAAAUAAAUAUAUUUUUAUGUUAAAAAAAAGUAACUUCAAAACUAACUCAGAGGAUGAGAGUUUGAAAUCUCAUUCCACUUCUUUUUUUUUAUAAAGGUAUUAAUUAAUCUAACUAAUAAAGAUCUUAAUAGUUUAUCAUAAGAUUCUCCAUUACAUUUUUAUAUAAAAAAAUUUUACUUAAUAUUUUUUAAUAAUCUAAAAAGAUAAAUAUAAAUUAUGAUUCAUUUACUUUAAAAUAAUUUUGAUAUUUAAAACAUUGAAUAUGUAAUCCCUAAAUAUAUCAUUAUUUACCUAAAAUCAAUUUAACUCAUCAUAUAGAAAGCCGUCAAAACUCUUUGUGAACAAAAAUCAAUUAGUGGAUGGAGAGGGAUGCAACUAUUGACUUUUUAGUCUUACGGGGAGGAAGUGGGAGAAGAAUAAGAAAGCGGCGUAUGCGGCACGGAGUCAUCGGUGCCGGUUUCGGAAUCAUCAAUACGCUGCAACUGGCUCCCCCGCCGGCUCUCCAGAACCGUCAGCAGAGCCUCCGCCUUGCUCUUUCCCCUCGCGCUCACCCCACUGUCGCCGCCGGCCAGAGCCCUCACGGCCGCCUCCGCCCCGUCCACCUCCCUGACGUCCCCCACCGCCUUGUCCCCGCCGCUCUUUACCAGGUUCAGCAGCGCAGCCGCAGCGUUUUCCCUCGCCCUCCCGCUCCCCCCAACCACCAGAUCCACCAAGACGCUGACGCCGUCCACCCUCCGGAACGCCUCCACGCUCUCGUCGCAUCCUGCCACCUGGGCGAUCACCGCCGACGCGUCCUCCACCAACCCCCUCCGCCCGUCCUUCACCACCAGCGCGAAGAGGGGCGGCACGGCGCCCAGCUCGACGAGGGCGGUGCGGUUGAGCGGGUAGAGGGCCAGGCCGAAGAGGGCCUUGAGCGCGUCCUUGAUGGACCUAGUCGGCGCGCCGGGAGCGCCGAGGAGGUCCACGAGGGCGGCGAUGAGGGGCUUCUUUGACCCGAUGACGGAACGGUACGCUUCGACGGAGAGGAGGCUGUAGACGGUUGCGGCGGCGUGCUGGGCGGCGGCGGGGGAGAGGAGGCGGAGGGCUGCGGCGAGGGCGUCGAGGAUGCCCGGGGUACACAUGAGCGCCUCGCGGGCGGAGAUGGAGAGGUUGAGGAGGGCAGCGGCCGCGUUCUCCUGGGCCUCGGCCGCAGACGAGUGAUGGUGGUGGUGGUUGAGGAGGCGGGCGGCAAGGAGGGGCACGGCGCCGGCGUCGGCGAGGGGGGCGCGCAUCUCCGGGUCCUGCUUCGACAGGCGGCGGAUCUCCGCGAUGGCUUCGGCAGCGGACUUCGAUUCCGCGGCGACGGAGCUCAGGCGCUGCACCAAAGUUCGGGCCUUCUGCUGCUUCUCCUCCAUCAAUCGCCCUCCCUAACCCAAUUGCUCCUUUCUUUAUUAUGGACAUGGCACGGAUGAAGGUGUUUUAGUGGGAGGCGUGUCCACUACAGUAAUGGAUAGUGUUGACUUCGCAAUCGUUGAAGCUUUCGCGGAGUUAAUGGUGGUAUACCUUUUUGACCAGUGUUGUUGGGAUGAACGAUGCAGUCCUAUGGACUUUUCUGACAUAUUUAGUUGUUAUUUUAUAUGUUUUGGGGCACAUAAAAGCCAAAAACAAAUUGGAAGCAGAGCUAUGUGUUAGAUUCUGUGCGUGCCAGCCUAGGAAAUUAUAAUUAAGUAUUAAUCAUAUUUCUUUUAUUUUAAUGGGGUGAAUUUUGGAUCGAUAUUUUUAAUUUAUUAGCCAUAGCUUUUGCUUGGUGACUCAGAAUUUAUCUUUCUCAUAUGCACUCACUCUAUUUAUUGUUUCGGAAGGUGUCUAAUGCAAAUACUAGAGAAAUCCUCGGUCUAUCUCGUUCUCUUUGCAUCAAAAUCUUUGUCACGACUCAUGAGAUUAUGUUCUAUUUUUUUAAUAAAAUUAUGUGGUAUUAAUUUUUAUUUAUUUUUUUGAAAAGAUAAAUAUAAAAUUUAAUCUUAGGUUCUUAUGAGCUAUAAUAGAAAUAUAAUGACGUAAUGGACACCUUAGUACCAUAUAUGUAAUACUUCAAUGUUAUAUAAUUGUUACUUCAGUGUCAUGUGCUAGAUACCUCAGCACUAUAUGUUCAACACCGCGAUGUCACAUUAUCAUAAACAAAUUUGUACAAAGAGUAUUCGAUAUAAUGUUUAUGUAUGUUAGUAUCUUUCGAUUUUAUAUACUUUGCACAGAAUGUAAAGAGUUGACAAUAGGUUUCACUGUUCCAUUUUGAUUAAAUUUUAUAGUUAUUUUAGUCCUAUAAACGCAAGUUGUGUGAAGUGACAAAGGCACAACUGCUCAAAAAUAAGUUAUUCAAAUAGUUAUUUUAGGAGUUUUCUUACUUCGUAGAACGAUACAAAAUGUCAAUCAGUAAAACACUAUAUAGUUACCCAUGUAGCACACGGUUGGAUAAGCCUUUGGAGUAUUUAUCUAGCAUUGAUUCACUAUCUUAUUUUGUAGUAGUAUUAUAUGGGUACUUAUGGGGACUUUUGGCUGCAAUGGAUCACCUUGAAUCCUUUAUCACAUAAUCGUUUAGAGCUUGCGAAAUCUAUGUUUAUAAUUUACAUUUCCUAUCAAGUGUAUGCUGAAAUGUCUACUUAUGAGAUCUCGAGUAAAAUAUUUUCUUUGACUCGUUUUCUCUUUUGCAAGUUCUUACGGGACCAUAAGAGGUUUCGGGGAGACUAACUCUUUGCAGAUAGACACACAAGGGUAUCACCCAACUUAGAAAAAAUCAAAUAAGUUCAUGACACAUGGUAUUAGAGUAAGACAAGCAUACUUAGAAAUAGUUGAUAUGGAAAUGUGAGGGACCUAGCGAGGCUACGAUGAGGGUAGCCAAUAUAUAUGACUGUUUGAGGGAAACAAGCGUAGUGACGUAGGAAAAUGAGUCACUUAAAUGAGUGAAAAUCCGAGAUUGACAUUUAGAGAAAUAGCCAACCAUUCACAUGAGAGGCAUUACAAGGACACGCACGCUGGGAAGAACGCGUAGUGUAUAAAGGUUGGAAUAGUUGAGUUUGAGCUAUGACUCAAUGUUGGAAACCAAACUUGAUAGUGCUUAAGAUAAGAAUAGCACUUGACAAAGGAUAAGAUUGUAUAAAGAGGGAUAAGUUGCUCGGUGAUUGAAAGAGUUAUGCAAACCUCACAAAGGUGAGGAAGAUUGCUAACUCGAAAAAUUUGAUACUAAUGUAAGGACUUAUAUAUGAACGAUAGAUUGUUUAUGGUCAUCCCAAGGUAAUUGAAACUCGAUGAUAUGGAGCAUAAAAAAAUUUUCUUCAGCAUAAGAAGGAUAUGUCCAUAGGAGGCUGAAGUGUACAAUAUGUGUAACAUGUUACUAGGUCUUGAGGGGCACAGUGAGAGUUAUACUAACGAAAGAGUCACAAUCUAGCAAGUGUGUUCAUGGUAACGAAAUAGUGCACAGUUUUUUCAACAAAGGUGGAGUAGUCCAAGGGGAUAGUGGUGCUAGUCAUAGGUGCCCAACAAGCCAAUCACGUGAGUGAUGGCACGUGUGACUUGAUACAGAAUCUUUUUGAUUAUUAUAUUUUGGCGUAUAUCACUUUAUAACUAUUGCAUAAAUGCAUAUAUAUUGUGAUGUCCUUGGAUUUGUGCAAUGAGAAUCGGAUCGUGAUGAGAUCACAAUAAUGAGAUCGAUUCACCUUUAAACACAUAUCCUAAAUAAUCCCGGUCAUAGGUUACUCGAGAGGGACAUCGUGAUAACCGGAUAGACUGGUGUGCUGUAUACCCGUCCAUAUGAUGGAUGCAGCUGGUCUCAUAACUGCUCGUGUAGGGACACUAGGGAUACAGUACAGGUGCUCAUUGGAGAAUGAGUUCACUGANNNNNNNNNNNNNNNNNNNNNNNNNNNNNNNNNNNNNNNNNNNNNNNNNNNNNNNNNNNNNNNNNNNNNNNNNNNNNNNNNNNNNNNNNNNNNNNNNNNNNNNNNNNNNNNNNNNNNNNNNNNNNNNNNNNNNNNNNNNNNNNNNNNNNNNNNNNNNNNNNNNNNNNNNNNNNNNNNNNNNNNNNNNNNNNNNNNNNNNNNNNNNNNNNNNNNNNNNNNNNNNNNNNNNNNNNNNNNNNNNNNNNNNNNNNNNNNNNNNNNNNNNNNNNNNNNNNNNNNNNNNNNNNNNNNNNNNNNNNNNNNNNNNNNNNNNNNNNNNNNNNNNNNNNNNNNNNNNNNNNNNNNNNNNNNNNNNNNNNNNNNNNNNNNNNNNNNNNNNNNNNNNNNNNNNNNNNNNNNNNUUGAUCCGCUUACGGAAUGCUGGAUGGUUGAUGAUGCCUUAUUGUCAGACAGCGAUUUCGUAGUCCUAGUGGUGUAUCUGGUCCUUAGACUUGAGACACCAAGGAUGUCCUGUAUGAGUGCUCCACUCUUUGAUACCAGACUUAUAGGUUUGGCUGUUCCCAGAUCUAGUACAGCUGGUCAUUGGGAGUGGUAGUCGACCUUACGAGGGCUAUUGAGUGUCAAUAGAGGAUCAUCCACUCUCGGCGUCAUGAGAGGAAUAUCUUAUGUGUUCUUGCUCAGACAAAUCCCUGACCAGGGUCAUUCGGGUUGAGAGAGAAAGAGUUCUCCGGGAGAAUCCGAUUAGAGCGAGACUCGAGUAGAAACUGUAUGGGUCUGACAGCACCAUGCUCGAUAUACGGUCUCUGGGAUAUUAGAUGGAUGAGGGACUAUAGGUACAUGGUAACUGAGGACAGACAGGUCCAAUGGAUUGGAUUCCCCUGUAUCGUCUGGGGACUACGGCGUAGUGGCCUAGUACGUCCGUAGUCGAUGAGUCGAGUGAAUUAUUACAGAGAUAAUAAUUCACUGAGUUAGAAGGAGUUCUAACAGGUAUGACUCACGGUCAGCUCGAUAUUGGGCCUAGAGGGUCACACACAUAUGGUAGGCAUUGCGAUGAGUAGAGGUUCGGAUAUGAGAUAUCCGACGGAG
RNAcentral lists this long non-coding RNA (53629 nucleotides) under Musa acuminata (dwarf banana). RNAcentral's name for it is "long non-coding RNA (MACU_LNC006434)". Lineage: Eukaryota; Viridiplantae; Streptophyta; Magnoliopsida; Zingiberales; Musaceae. The record is from RNAcentral.